RNAcentral lists this long non-coding RNA (51131 nucleotides) under Triticum aestivum (bread wheat). RNAcentral's name for it is "long non-coding RNA (TAES_LNC021557)". The record is from RNAcentral. Lineage: Eukaryota; Viridiplantae; Streptophyta; Magnoliopsida; Poales; Poaceae.
AAGCCACCAACUCAGAGAAAAUUGCUGCUGGCCGAGGCAGAAGCACACCGCACUAGCUGUUGUUCUUGUUUCCUUCCGCGUCGCCAGAACAGGCAUUGGGUUUGCUGCGCUUGCCGAUGAAUUGCUGCUGAACUUGAGUUGUUAUGUAUGAUAGAUGUUGUGAGUGACUCCCCAGUAACUGUGUUGUUGAGAAUUUGCAAUUGUACUUAAUAAUGUGUUGUUGAUCGGAUUGAUAUAUUGAUGAUGUUGUUGACCGGAUUGUUAUGUUAAUUUUUCCAUUGGAACUUCUUAUUAUUUGCUACUCAGCUGUGGAGUGCAUUUGUAAGUCCUGCAUAUUUCCUGUUGCUGCUUUGGCGUUUGGUAGGCCUUUGCUGUGCUUAAAUGUUUUUGAGCUGCACCAUGUCCUCGAUUUCCUGUGAAGGCUGCCUCUUGUGCUAAUUUCUAGUAUCAAACUUCACACCUGAGUAAUUAUUAAGGGUCACAACUUACUGUUACUGCUGUCAGGUAAUUUUCAUAUUUUUGUUCUAAUGUUUAAUUCUCUGUUGAUAGAAAUGUUAUCCACGUGAAUUUCUCGCUUUUGAGUUAUCCAAAUGAAAUACAGUACAUGGGAAGACAUGUUUUCAGUAAAGGACCUGUGGUCGUGUUGAGCGAUGCUCACACACAACAACGGCAAGUUUAUUCAUCCAUUUUAUUUACUCAUAGAGUAUUCCUCGAGAUUAUUUAUCAGUAAUCACAUGCACACAGGCAUGCAUCGAGGACUGACGCUAGAUUUAGAUCUUAGUAUGUUGUUACUGCGUUACUUGCUGGAUCAAAAGCCCUUCAACGAAGGGCCUCUGGUUGUAGCAGUCGAGGUUGCUCCCGUAGCCGACGCCAAGGAUGUUGCAGUAGCGCUGGUAGAACCCGAUCCGGUCGGCAACACGGCUGUCCUGCCCCCUGCCGCACUCGAGCCCGCCGUUGAUGAUGUUGGUGAUGACGCCAUAGCCAGGCACCCUUCCCGCCGCGUUGUCGGCAGCCGUUGGCGUCCACUGGCCCGUGAUCACGGUGUGGGAUGACGGCUUGUUCGCUUGCGGCGUCAUCCAGAACCACAACGCCGUCUCGAACGACACCGUGGCAUCGGUCGCCACCAGGUCCGGGUUGUUGAGCAGGUCCACGCCAAUGGCGCGCCCCGCGGGGCCGUAGUUGUAGUUCCCGGAGAGCAUGAUGGGGCCGCGGCCGUAGUACUGCCUUCCUUGUGCGCACGGCCACUCCGACGAUGGCUGGCAGUAGUCGGGCGGUGAGCCCAGCUCCCGCUUGUAGCAAUAUCCCCAGGAGUAGGGGCCGUCGGGUGCGGUGGCCCACCCGCCGGUGGUCUCGUGGGAGGUCUGCCCGAAGAAGGCUGCCACCUCCUGCUUCCGCGUCUCGGUGCUCCCCGUGGUGCCGAAGGCCGGGAACGCGGCGGCCGCGGCCAGGAAUGCGUCGUACGUGUAGAACCCGCCGGCAUCUGUGCACUGGUUGCUGUGGAGCAGGAACUGCUGGAAGAUGUCCCUUGACGAUCAACUCCACGUUCAAUUUGAUCCUCUAAUCACGGCGAGGCCCUCACAGAGAAAAUCACGGGCUCAUGCAGGUGCUAUAUUGCUUGCAUGCUGUAGAAAAACGGCCAAAGGAAGAAACAUCACGGUACAGAGAAAAUAAUGGCUAACAGCCGCGCCACCCAGAUCACUUUCCAUAGCAGGUCGCCCUUCGACGCCCGCGCUAUCGCAUGUCGCCCACCUCGCCACAGUCGUGCGCACGUCACCCACCUUGCCAGCGCACCCGUGCACGUCGUCGCUGGUAGUGGUUGGCCGGUCCGCUCGAUCCGGCCCGGGCUUCAGUGCCGCCGGUCCGGUCCUUGAAACCAGGACCGCGAGGCUGGUCGGUCCGGUCCGGUCCGGACCGCCGGCGGCCGGUCCAAACGGUGGCUCGGUCAGGGACCGGACCGGCCCGGACCGUGUCCACCCUGAGAGAUGAUGGACGACACGCCCCCGCCGGGGCUGGGUCCAGGAGGAGUGGGGCCGCAGCCGCUGCACUGGCUCUGGCAGCCGGCACCGCAGUAGUCGGAGGUGCUGCCACAGUAACCGAAGCGGCUGCAGCAGAGGCAGUUCGGGCACGUCGCGCCGCCGGCCUGCGAGCCACACUGCUGGGCGCGGGCCGCCGUAGCGAGCGCCGCCGCCAGGACGAUGGCCAGGAUGGCCGCCACCCUCCUCGGGCCUCUCAUUCUCAGUGUAGGCACGGUCUGGUUGAUCUUGAUGCCUGCUGAUAGAUUAUGGCGCCAACCUAGAUCCGCUAUUUAUAGAUCAAUUCUAUGCGUGGAAAAUCGGUUGAGCCGUGCCGUGCUACUCACUCGCUGCUCGUUGGUUGAAGUCUGGACGUGUCACGAGUUCCCCUUAUCAUCUUCAUCACUACAGGACCAUGUGACACGUCUUCUCUCAUAAAUUGUUGAAAUGUACCCAACAAUCACCGAUCAACCACGUCUGAUUGAUGAAUUAGUUCAUACUGAUGAACCAUGUGGCACAUCUUCAUUGAACCAUGUGACGAAGAGGUGCACUGUUGGGAUUUGAGCGCAACAAAAAAGAGGACAGGAUUAGCCUGUAUAUUGUCCUGUUCCUAAAAGUUAUACUGAUCUGCUCAAAUUUGGUGUCGUCUACUCCUACUAGUGUAUACACAUGGGAUUAGGUUAAAAAAUGAUGAUAAAAUUAGCUUCUACUAAAAAGAACAUGUAAUGCAACUUUGCGAUGUGUACUAUAUAUAGUGUAUUACACAAGGGUCACAGAUAGUGCGGGCCUUGGCCCUUGGGGGCUAUUGGUGUGCCUGGCCGUCUUCCAAGGUCUGGUGAGGCUGUUGUGGGUCCCUUUGGGCGAAAGCUUAAGUCCUUGACAAGGGGCGAUGACGGCGGCGACGAAACCAUGGGCGUCAUUAUCCUUCUCAAAGGCGUCUUCGAAGAGUUCUCCCACUAAUCUCUGGAUUGUGGGCAUGUUGGUGGUGGAGUUUUGAGUUGGCCGGUGUCGGUACUGCUUUAUUAAUUUAAAUCCGAGCACCCCUUGUGCAUUUUAUCUAAAAUAGAUUUGUUAUCGGUGCUCGCACAUUCCUAGAUUUAUUUCAGGAUUUAACGACUUUAUUCUUUCAGUGGUAAGUGAUGUUCCCAACAACAAUAACUCAUAUCUGGUAACUUCGUCAAUCUCAAGACUCAUCGCCUCAGUCUCUUGGAGAUAUCAUAGGGAUGGGUGUGCAUGCAUGCGCUCGUAGAUGUGAGUGUGUGUGCACGUGUGAGAACCUGCGCAUGUACUGUUUCUCUAAACAACCAAUAUGCACUCCAUAUUUUUAUUCUAACUAGUAAGAUGCCCGUGCGUUGCACAGAACACCGGGAUGCAUUGAUACAAAAGUAGUUUAUUUGACAAAAUAUGUGGAGGGUCCUCUCAACUAUUAAAAAUAUCCAUACCUUUCUUCGGAUCAACUAUUAAAAAUAUCCAUAUCUUUCUUCAGAUAUUCAGUUAUGUUGCUGAGCUCAUAAGCAUCAGGGGUAUAGUGAAUACAAAUGAAAAUAGGCAAACACGUUCAAGUGUUUUAUCUGUAUGCAAAAUUCAUGAAAUAUCGCACACAGCUAGAACAAUCCAACAUGUUUGUUUCCGAAACAUUAAGACUUCGUUGAAUUUUACUGCAAUUAUUUGAGCUCAGGAGCCAAGUUCAUGUCUCAACUUUCUUCUUCUAUUUCCACAGUAAUCGGGUAAAUGAUUAGGAGGUACACAGAAUUAAAGUCUAAUGGGUAAGGACACUAUUGUUGCUCUAGCGCCCCUUCCCUUACCAAUCUGGAUCCUACUCCACGGCUGUAAGAAAACACAAAUUUUCCUUAAAAAGACUUUACGCGACUUUCUCCGGUAAAAGCUUCACCUCCGUCAUGUUUGCUCUGCAGUUGCACUUGAACGUCUCCUAACUCAUACUCUGUAUUGUCAAGAAAAAACUCCACUCUUCGUCAACUCCUCUAGAUACUUAUAAUUGUGCAUCAAGCUUGUAACCUUUGCAUGAAUAAUUACAACAUAUACAAAAAUAUAACAUUUCUAAUGAUGGCCAUAUGUUGCAUCUCUUUCCACACAGGCUUUUCUCUCGACCUUGUGUUGCCUCCCCUGUGCACAUGGUGUCCCAUCUCACAAUCAUAGAUACAUAUUGUGAAUUAGUAACAAUUCUUGUUUCACAUAUCAGAUGGGUAUUACAAAGUUGCAACUUAUUUCUACAUUUCACUGUCAGUUAGCACUUCCAAGCAGAAACCUUCUGCAAGUGGAUGCUCACUGUCAAUUAACAACAUACUUGAGUUGUGGUUUGAACUUCUAACUACAACUGCAAGGUAAAAAUUGAAUUGUAUAGCAAACAGACCUUUUCUCGGCAUACAUCACAUUUUCAUGUAUCCGUACAAAUUCCGACUCAAGCUGUAGCUUGAACAUAAUCUUUGCAGGGCUCAGGCGGCUCCUGACCAUCCACAGCUUGACAGACUAAUUCACAAGGUGGAAGACUGAAAGUACUUAUACUGAUCUACACAUAUGUUUACAAGAUUAUAUGGCGUAUAUUAUCUCUACUACUGUCGAUGUCGACAUCAAGGUAGAUGUUUGGCUGGAACUACAACUUCUGGAAUUGCUAAGCUGAAUGACCAACAACAUAUCUGAAUUGUCAUUGUGAAAUGCAAUUUAUUGACCUUAGAUAUACAAACAAAUGCUCAAUGUACAGAAGGCAAUGCUUCUUGCAGGCAACCUUUGCUGUAUAUAUAUAUCAUUAGAUUGCUGCUUAAUAGAACAGACUUUCAGCCUCUUCUUACAUUACAUAAAGCAAGAUUUGACUAUAACACCAUGAAAACCAGUCACCUACUGCCUGGUACUUAAGCCAAGAACUCUGUGCUUAGUAAGAUCAGGAUCUUCUGGCAAUUUUUUUUUGCAUAUUUCAGUUAUCCUAAAAACAAUCACAUGAUGAUUCUUAUGCUUAUUGUAAUUACCUUCCUUAGUGAGAAACACUUUUUAAAAUGCAGUAUUGCUUAUAAGAUCAAGCACAAUCGCUUUUUUAAAUGCAAUAGUAUUUUCUGCAAGUUAAACUAUCCUGAAAAACAGACACCAAAUCACUUCAGUAUAAACACAAAAAUGAAUUGAAAGCAAUGAUCACUUGACAUUCAGCGAUUGUCGUGGUCAUUCAGGUUGAUGCUAGAGGAGAGGCAAUGAAGGAAUGCGCACCAAACUUAAAUGAGAAGAUAAAUGGCAGCAAUGAAUAUAUCGAAAAAGCAUAUAUAUAUAAUAGCAUGAGCACACAUUUAUAAAUGGUUCCAGGACAAACAAGAACGAAGUAGACGUGUUUGACUGAACACUUUGCUACAUAUGCACAGGGAACAUGAAUUUGUGUACAACACCACCACGAAUCUACAAAUAGGCCAUGGAAUCAUUUGUCAACCAUAGUAUGCCCUUCUUUAGUUGUUUGCUUAGAACAUAUGUGAAAAACAAUAUUGGCUCUGAAGAUCUUGCCUCAUCUAUCUUCUCACCUAAAAGGGAAUCAGACAAUCACUACUUAAACAUAACGGCCUGUAGUAUACCAGUCCCAUGGGAAAACGGGUAUCCAGAGCGCAUAAGCCAGUCCAGCAUACAGAUGUAAAGCAUCUUAACAAAAAAUAAGCAAGGAGAUUCACCUUCAGAUUGGCGUGACGAGCGUGUGGCUCUUGAGGUGUAGUUCAAGCAGCUUGAGUCCCAUCUGCCUACCCAUUUGAUUUAUAUUGGACUGCAACUCUGCAAGACUGGCUUCUAGAGACUUCGACCUGGGCGCGCGAAUUGAACUCUGGGUAACGGGUGGGAGGGAUGAGGAUUGGGAAGGAGAGGCAGUAGCCAAGCAUAGCACCUCCACGUGGGGCGCUUCAGUGACAGUGGGGAAGGAGGAGGAGGAGUAUGCGGAGGCGCCGCCGCCAAGGAAGCAACACGUAGCCGGUGGAGGUCAGCGGCAGGAGACGGGGAAGGGGGUGGAGGAGAUGGCGAGGAGGAGGGGGCUGUGGAGAUGUUGGGCGCUGGGACUAAUGCGCAGAGGAGGGGGCAGGAGAUGCGUCGCCUGCAUGCUUGCCAAGGUCGGCAUCGGAGAAGAUGGGGAUGGGGGUGGACGAGAUGGUGAGGAGGGGGCCAUGGUGUUGGUGGGCCGUGUGGCUGAGAGGAUGCAUGAGAGGUUCCGGGGGCACACGGCGUCGGCGGGAGCCACCGCGCCAGAUCGGUUCCAGAGUUGCCUUUCCUGAGGUGAUUGGAUGAGGUGGGCGUGGGGAAGAGAUGAGGGCCAUGGGGCUGAACGGGAAAGGCAGGGGGUUAUCCGCAAAUAUGUGACGGAAGUGGCGGGCGUCCGUUUGCAAAAUUGACCACAUUUCACCGUGUGCGUCAGAUCAGAUCGAUCGGACGGUUGUAAAUGCACGACGGCAGACACACCAUCACCACCAACUCAGAUCUUACAUUCUUAAGAAGUUGCUCCCCACUUCUACCCAUUUUCUCAACAUGCACACUGUACACAUCAGCUCCAUGCCACGUCAGAGUUCAUUUUUUUAUUUUUUGUUUUCGCGAAGAGCAGCCAUUUCCCCAGCCUUAACUCCAUGGAAGAAAUAAAAGAGAAUAAUAUCUUUCCCUGGCACCGACCGAACAAUUAUUACUCGACCUCUUUUCCUCCCCGUCUCUUCGUUACUCCCUUCCCCACCCUUCCCCUCCCUUCCCCUCUCUGUGGUGCAACGCCGGAGGGUGGUUCAAAUCCGCUGAUGAGAGGCACCUCAACGAGACUACUCCCGCGUCUCCACCGGUCGCACCGCCUUGAACGCCCGCGGAUCCGUCCACCUGCGCUGGCGUGCCGGACACCGACCAGAUUCUUCCUACGGUCAAACUGCUUGCCUUCUCAUCUUCUCCAAUAACUGAAGAUACGCAAUGGAGAUAUCUGAAACUGUCGGUGCACACUCAAUGGGCACCUGAGGAGACACGCAAUCGACAUUAUCUUAUCCUCCUUGAUACGCAUCUAGCCAGUAAGUUCCUCAUCUAGCCUCUGCACAAAUUCUCUUUACUCUGCUGAACUUGCAUAUAGCGCACACAACCGGUGUCCUAAUCUCCUCCAUGUUAGUACAUGAUAUUUAUGUUGUGUGGCAUCUUCUUUUGCUCAUUCCUUAGUGUUUCCAAUGCUGACUUCAUCCUCUUUUUCAGGUUGAGUAUCCCAAUCAUCAUAUAUUGAAACUUACAUUGGACACAUAUAUAGUUCCUGAACAAUUUCCAGUUUUUCUUUGGUGUUGUACUUUUAUCUGUUAGUUUGCAUCUCAAUUAUGGCCUUGGUUUUGUUUUCAAGUUUAUAAUUGCACCUUUCUAUACAAUUUGAUAACUUUUCUUCUAUAUAAUGUAUCUCACCUCCAUCGACGGAAGACUGCGCAAGAUGGACUGAUCAACGAUGUGGUGGUUGCUACACCAGUCUGGUACCUCCACAAGGAGGAGGAGGAGUUCAGUUGAGGUGAGAAUGGAGGCUUGGUAUUUCCCAUAAUGUUGACUGAUUGGAUCAUACAUUGAAUCAGUGCGGAAUCCUAAUGUCUCUUUCUUUGAGGUUUCAGUGGUCAAGGCUACAUUUCAAAGCUAAUCAUUUUUUUCUAACAUCUGUGUGCAGUAGAUUAAUCAGGUCAGUUGACCACAAAUCUAUUUGUCCACGUUGAUUGUAUCACUAUGGUAGUUAUUUUCCUGCCGAACUAUCAAAGCAUUCUUCAUUUGUCUUUCUCUAAUAUACUAGCUAUACGAAAUAAUUUCUUUUGUAGAGACCGAGUGACACUACCAUGAGCUACUUGCGGCUGCUGCCUUUUCCCCCUCAACCAUGGGAAUCGCUGGUGUGCCUACGUGAUCCCACAGUAGGUCUUUGUUCUCCAAUGAGUAUCUAAUCCGCAAAUUUAUUUGUGUUCUUUUCCAUGAUACGCACAGGUGGUGCUUGGACAGGGGCAUGAGCCUCACAUGAAUCACACUACCAUUUUAAAAUCUGAUGAAUUUAUUGAUUUAUGGCUUUAUGCUUUACAUUCUUAUCUGAAACUAUUGCAAGCUUUCUUGAUUGAUGGACGAUGUGUUGCAAAAUGUCUGUUAUCUACCAAAUUUGAAAAUUGUUGAAACGUAAAAAUCUCUCUCUCUCUCUCUCUCUCUCUCUCUCUCUUGGAGUAUUUCGAAUAUUUGCCAGUUGUCACUAUCUUUACUCACUCUAUACAAUUAUAUUUCUUAGUCCCCCCUAUCUCAAAUUUUCAGAUAAAUGCUAUUUUUUAUUGACAGUGACUCGAGCAUAGCACCUGUGUUGCAGUGUUAUAUAAUAGGAAAUACAAGGAAAUAAACAGAAGUAAGAAGAAACAAGUACCUAAAAGGAAGUUUUGGAUUCAAGUGAGACCCCAUUUUCCCAAAUAUAGUUACUGAUAGUAUUUUGUUUUUUGUUUCAUAUAUGGCAAUCAUCUAAUGUAUCUGCCAACAUUCAGAUUGCAUAAAAAAACGGAUGGGGAGAGCAAACUUGGUACACUAUGUAUUCCUUUUUCCUUCGAGGGCUUCAGGUCACGUGUCGGUCAUUUAUGUUUGGUGGUUUCUGAUUGUACUUCAGAAGAAGAAAAAUUAGUGACCGCCAUAUUCUACAUAUGCAUGUACGGAAUAUCAAAGAUGUAACAUGUUCAUUUUGUUGUUAGGUAUGCAGAUAAUUUGUAAAUCUAUUGUAUCUAAAUGUGGUCUAGAUUGUAACAACUUCUGUGAGCAUCUAAAUGUUCCAGUUGUUAUUACAAAUUGAAAAGUUUCAUUACAAAAUUUAAAGCUUUCAGCUUAACCUUAAGAGCGACAUGAAAGGUUGACUUUAUUAUUUACAAUUAUUUAGGUAGACUUUGUUUUUUUCCUGAAUGGUCAAAGCAUGAGCUGAUAGCACAUACAUGUCGCCUCCACAUUAGUACAUUAUUUGCUAUGACAUGUAUAUAGUAUAUUUGGUUUGUUUCCUUGCAAAUUCAUUGCUCGAGAUUCCUGCGGCAACGUGCGGGGAAACAAAUAAUGAGGCUUAAAUAAUUAUUAAAUUUGUUAUUAAUUAAACUUAAUAUGAUCAAAUGAUGUUCUCAAACUUAAAUCUUUUGCAAUAUAUCAACAUGCCAACACGGCAACAAUGCACUUAUCGACUAUAACACCCAUUUUUCUGACUUUUUAUAUCAUUCUGCCAAAUGUUGAAAAAAUAUAAUUAUAUAUUCAUUUUAUGGCUAUUUAUCGCUCCAUAAAUCCACCUCCUAUAAGGUGCUACAAAUUCCCGCAGCAACGCGCGGGGCGUUAUCUAGUUUUUAUAGUAGUAGAGACACAUACUACCAUCUAUGAAAUGGCUAUUUGAUGGGCGACUAGAAACGUUCAGAAUCAACAGAGUUGUACUAUAAUUUUCCUCCAUUAAUGUGAGUGGCAUGUGGAAAAGACGCAAAGUCACAGUGUUGUUGCUUCGAUGUGUCGUUUAGGUCAUCUCCAAUGGCUAUAUGGUUGUUGGUAACAUUAUCACAAGGAACAUGUAAUGAUGCAGCAUAAAAAUAAAGAAGUAAAAAAAAUCAAGGUUGUAUAUAUGUAUGUUAACCAGACAAUCUUGCACAAGCUGUGAUGUAUAAAUAGAGAGUAAAUUUAUACUUUUCUCUCACCUUCUAUUGGACAACUUAGACAUGCUCUAUUCGAAUAAUUGAAUGAUGGCUUAUUGGUUGAUGGCAUAGACAGUAUUACCAACAAAGUAACACACGAAGUUGCUCUUAGACAGAAUGGAGAGAGCGAAUAAUGGAACUGUUGGAAGGGUACCAUAGUUCCAUAGUGUUGAAGUGUUGGAGCGAACCAAAAAUGACUGUCAAUCUCUAGAAACAUUUCUGUGUCAUCAAGACAUCAACAACAUUUUUGUCAUGUCGUCUGCCAAAGUAUUGAUUAAAAUGAAAGUGGCUUGGCACGUGUGCAUGCUGUGAAGAUGAGCCCGUAAGGUAGAGUUCAUAGCAGGAAAUCCCUAGCCGCUAUCCGCUCGUGUGUGCAGGGAUCCUGAGAUAGGCAACGACUGCUAGACACGGUCUAAAUGUGUGUAUUCUAACUGCAUGUACAGUGCAACCUAAACUUCGUAUGUGUCUUAGAUUGCAUCUUUAUAGGGUCCUAGAUGUAUUCAGUUCAAGCUGAAUUUCAAUUCAGUUUAGGAAAGAGUUUGCAUAUGGUAUGUAAGCUAGACGGGAUGCAUGUAAAAGCCAGGACAGUUUCGUGUUGGGCACGUUGCCACACCGUGAGAUACAAAGGCUAAUAAAUGUAGUUUUUUAUUUCUUAGUUGCAUGUUUUUUUGCUUCUGUUCGAGUCAAUCUUUUCCUUUGUUUUAGUCUUUCUCUCUGUGUGUGUGUGCUCUUGUGUGUGUGUGUGUGUGCGCGCGCGCGCGCGCGUGUGUGUGUGUGUGAGAGAGAGAGAGAGAGAGAGAAAUGGGGGGUAACAUCUCCAACAGGCAAAAAUCAUUGUUCUGACAUGUGGACCAAACAAUAUCACAAAAUGAACCGUUGGCGAAUUUUUUUCUCCCGGCUGAGUCUUUUGUGUAGUGCCCGAUAAUUAGGCACCAUACUACACUGUACAACGUCUGACUGACAGGCGCUACAUGCCUGGCUAGCAUCGCACGCCGGGCUGCCUGAAAAAUGUUAAGUCAGUUUGUAACGCCUGAGAUUUAGGCUCUACACUAUAUGCUGGCCAGGCAUGUAGCGCAUGUCAGUCUGGCGCUGCAAAGUAUAGUGUGGCGCCUAGUUGUCAGGCACUACACAAAAGGGUCAGCCGGAUGAAUUUUUUUGUCAACAAUUUAUUUUGUGAUAUUGUUUUGUCCACAGGUCAAAUUUGUCGUUUUUGCCUCUCCGACAUGAGAUGCAGUUAACCUUUAGCAUGUCAAGGGAUGGUCAAUCGCUAACUGUUGUUCGAACACUCGAGAUAUACAUGAAAGUUUUACAAUUUGUGUGCAUAUCAUACUAUUCUAUGAAAGUUACAUUAUUGCAUGGUUGUUCUUGCAUAUUGUAAGAUUUAUGCAAUCUGUGCAAGUUUUUAAAUCAUUUGCUAUAAGGUUUCCUUUUCCUUUUUUUUUACUUCUUUCAGGGUAGUACCAGUUCCCUUAAUUGACUAUAUUUUAGAUCGAAUAAUAUCUUUUAGUUUCAAUUUAGUUUACUGAUGAAAGGAAGUGACUCAUACGGAAACAAGUUAGGCAACUUGCCAAUACAAGUCCCAUAUAAACGUGAGAAAACCAAUGAAAUUUACUGACUUUGCUUGGAGUCGUUCAUGCAUCAUUUUCACAUAGAACCAUGCAUAAUUUUGACGCGUGGUGGACGAAUAAUCAUUGCAUUCAUUCAUCUAACACUGAUGAUUUAUUGGAGGCCCUGGGGACUUAGCUAGUCACGAGAGGAGUAUGUAGGCCGAUACAGACAAGACGGUGUUGUUAUCUUGUCAUGUUGCAAGAUAUAUAGGAAAACAAAAUUUAGAUAGAGACAGGACUUAGCUAGCUAGAUACUCCCUCCGGUCCUUUUUACUCUGCAUAUUAGGUUUGUCCGAAGUCAAUCUCAUCCAAUUUUGACCAAGUUUAUAUAAAAAAUUACAGACAUUCACAUAACAACACCAAUAUCAUUAGAUUCAUCUUGGAAUAUAUUUUCAUAUUAUAUUUAUUAGAUAUUAUAGAUGGUAAUAAUUUCUAAUAUAAAUUUGGUCAAACUUAGCAAAGUUUGACUUUCGGUAAAUCCAAUAUGCAGAGUAAAAAGGACCGGAGGGAGUAUAUAGGAAUACGAAGGUACAUAGAGAUGAGACGCCGCCUCUCUUGCUCGCUUUAGUUAUAUGUUGUUCUCUUGUUAUCUCAUCCCAUCAAUAUUAAUGUUGGGUAGGCAAGUGGUUAAGUGAAAGCAAGUGGUUUAGAUUGCAGCCAUGGGUUCUAAUUACCAGCCCUGCACGGAAUAUGAUUCUACUUGAUGUAAAAGUGAUUCAGCAAUCCAAAUCAAACCAAGAGCCACAUAGUAGGUGUACUCCGUACCAGAAACUAGUUCAUAUUUCUAGUCCCAUACAUAACAUUUAAAACCUGGAGACGUACUGAUACGAAAACAACCGCGUAUUUGAGCGACUAGAUUUCAUAUUAGUUUGUAUUCUCUUCCAAUUGCUUAGAGGUGUUAUUAGUCUAUUGGGUAAACACCUACCCAAUAGAGGUGUUAUUAGUCUAUUGGGUAAACCCCCGCAAAAAAAAGGUCUAUUGGGUAAACAUUUAAAACGUCGUUCAAACAUUAGUUUGCAUAUUUCCUCCGACAACAAAAGGAGCAACCAUUUGAUUUAACCUACCGCCGCAGUAGCCAAACUCAACGUCGUGAUUUUUCGCCUCAAGCUCUAGCGGGACGGUACCCUCGAUCGCUUUGAUCCUUUAUUUCGACCAAACUUUCAGCCCGGUCGUCAAGCUGGGGGUAUACGUGUUGUUCCCUCCAUCGCGCUCUUCCUCAACCAGAACUAGGAUUAGACAAUUCCAUGGUGCCAGCCAUUUGCCGAUGCCUGUGGCUACUACUGUAACAACUAAUUAAUAGUGACUUGUAGAACUCCGGCAAUUAACAGAGACCGACCGUGACUGUACAUGUGAUGCACGCACGUCUACGGAACCACUGAAAGUUUGCUGUAGCCACUGAAAGUGGACAUGCAACUGUAGCAAUGUCCCCUGGCCGUGGUCAUUUUUCUUCUCCGCGAGCUAAGCUAACAUGUAUUACCAAUAUACUAUUUACAAGACAGUUUUCGAAAGAGCACGUUUGUUGUUUUUGAGAACUGUUACAAAACUGAUAUUUUUGCCAGCACCGUCAAAGGACCUGCUCAAUCACAUCAUGAAACUGAGACCUAAGAGCAUCCCCAGCCGUUGGCCCCUAGGGCGCUAAAAAAGAGCCGCCUGGGGGCGAGCCGGCGCUAGGUUGGCCCCUGGGGGCGAUCUAGCUCCCAGCCACACCCCCAGGCGCCGUUCCUCAAGUCGCGGCAAAUUCAAACUUGGCAAUUCGCGCUCACAAAAAAACGCUGCAAGUCCGGCGAUCAGCGGCCCAGUUCGGCGAUCGGAUGAAAAGUUCAUCGUACAAAAAAAAGGACGAGUGAGCAAGGCAUCACACGGCAGGGUCGGCGUCUUGCGUUAGCGGAGUCGGCGUGCGCGGGCUUGGCGGUGUCAGAGCUGCUUCAGUGCUGGGCGGCGUCGGCGCGACGUCUGUGCUGCUGGGCAUCGUGGAGGCAUCAUCGCUCGGGUUUGGCGGCGGCGUCGGCGUGGGCGUGGGAGUUGGCGGCGCCGUCGACGGCAGCUGGUUUAGGAUGAGGCCGCGCUCCGCCAAGUACCACGCCUUGACAUGCUCGUCGUUGCUCUGGAGCAUGUCCACGCUGUUCGUCAUCAACGCCGACCACCGCGCCUCGGUCUUCUCUUCAUGCAGGGCGGCCCGGGCCUGCGCGUCGGCGAGGCAAUGCUCAAUGGGUUCCUACACCCGCGCCGUUGCCGAGUCGGUGUGUUUCCCCUUCUUGGCCCCUUUGUUGCCUUCGGGGUGCCCGUUGCCCGCGCCCGAUGUCGGUGCGUCCGGCUUGUAGGUCUCCUUGGCCUUGGCGAGAGUGCGCCGGACAUCCGCCCACUUGUCGCACUUCUCGAUCCGUUUGAAGACGUGGAGGUACUUGAAAUCUUGGUCGCUGCUGUCUUGCUGGAACAUGCUGAACAUCCGCACCAAGCUGCGCCGAGGAACUAUCAGUGAGCGGCGCGCGCCCGUCGAAAAGAAAAAAGGAGAGGCCAUUGUGCCAUACCUGAUCCUCGAUGCUGGUGCCGCUCUCUGGGCGAGCCGCGAUCUCCUCGACAUCCCAUAUCAUUUGUUACACGCCGAUUGGAUGAGCCCCCAAUGGUUCGCCAUUGCCUUCGCCCCGCGCUGCAUGUACACGCCUUUGAAGUAGGGGUCGACGAGUUUGCGCUCGCCGAACUCGGCCUUGAUGCAGUCCCAAUACGUCUCAAUGCUCUGGUUCGUGCCGGUGACCGGGUCGAGGCAGACGACUUUCCACGCUUCGGCAAGGCACUCGUCCUCCUUGGACGCCCACUUGAUGCGUGGCUCGCCGAUCCUGGCCGCCCCUUCUUCUUCUUCCGUUUCCUCGCCGGAGGAGGCGCCGGUUCCUCCUCCUCCUCCUCCUCCUCCUGCUCCUCCGGCUCCGGCUCCUCCUCGCUGUACUCGAGCUCGCCGUCCAUGUCACCGUUGGGGUCCACUGUGUCGUCCUGGGUAGUAAACCCGGGGGACGCGGCGGCGGCGGCCGAGCCGGCCGUGAUGAUGUCGUCCAUGUCGGCUUCGGUCGCGUCGGUGUCGCCGAGAUGCGACGUGGAGGCUUGAGAGAAGGGCAGGGCGCCACGGCGGAGAGGGGGUGUCGGGGAGGAUGCGUACGCCGGCGGGGAGUAGUUGUACGGGGGUACUGUACGCCGACGAAGGCGGGUGAGGGCGUGUGCUGGGCCGGAUGACCAUGGGGGGAAGGUGAUGUUGGGGUUGAACCCGCCGUGCACGUCACCGUCAGCGUAACCCGGCGACGGCGUGCAGCCCCAGGGUUGCGGCGACGACGAGAAGCCGGCCGGAGAACCGACGCUUUACUGGCUACAGGGCGCGUACGGGCCGUGGCCGCCGGGCGGGUUCAUCAUCCCCAUGCGAGUCGCCUCGGCUUGUUCGGCCGACCACUCCGCCUGCUCCGCCGCCGCCGCAGCCGCGCUGUCCUGGGCCUUCUUGGCGUUGGCCCUGUUCUGCCGGUCGGUGGUGACAGCCUCCCGGCGCUGAACUUCGGCCCUCCAGUCGGCGUUGGACAUGCCCGGGGGCUUGGACGGCGGUGCCCUCGGCUUCCUCUGCUUCGGCUGGGCGACGGCGGCAGUCGCACCCGUUGCGGCGCGGGGGAACACAUACUUUUUCGGCGGCAUGGCGGCCGACUGGGAGGAGAGGAGGAGGAGAGUGGCGGGAGAAAUGUAGAGAAUGGGAGGGAAGCUGGGGGUGAGGCGGGAAGAAACGACGGGAAAAUGCCGUCCUCUCGCCGACGGAGCGGCCCCACGCCCCUUUUUGCUUGUGCCGGCACCCCCAGGCGCCCCCCAGCACGCCGGGUUCGGCUCGGGUGCGCCGGCUGUUAUUUCGGCCAAACCCGGCGAAGAACUGACUCCUGGGGACGCGACUGGGCCGAUUUUCGACUGCCGGCGCUAAAAGUUCGCCUGGAAAGGGCCUGUUGGGGCGCGGCUGGAGAUGCUCUAACACCCAUCACAACUCACCAAGGAAACAAACAAAACCACCGCCUCCCCAAGAACUAACUGCGGUAUUUUAAACUAAUUUAUGUUACAGUAAAGCAAUUUUAUCUUUCUAGUAUCAACUCGAGUGACAUAUAUUCCGUGGGACCAACUAUGCCUCACGCAAAAGGGAUACAUCGUUUUCAACGUUGCUACAUGGACUGGCCAAGCGAGCCAGCGUGCCACACGUCUCCCAGGAGUGUAGUUUAUUAUGUUACUAUUAUUAUUUUUACACCUAUUUAUUUUACAUAGGUCGGUUUUAUUACCUCAAAGAUACGUAUUGGUUGGUUUUAUUAUAGCUUAAUAUAUGUUCACAAAUUUUAAAAAUUAUCUCAUAUUUAAAAAAAUCAUGCGUACCAAAAAAUGUUCACAAAUUCAAAAAUGUCAUGAAUUCGAAAUUGUUUGCCAAAACAGAAAUUAUUUGCUAAUUCCAAAAAUGUUUGCAAAUACAAAAUAAGUUCAUGAAUUGAAACAAAUAUCCAUGCGGAGUUCAAAGAGGUUGGGAAUAUGAAAAACACUCUGCAACAAAAUAUGUUUGUGAAUUCAGAAAAUGUCCACGAACAAAAAAUUCAUGUAGUCAGAAAAUGUUCACGCAGAGUUCAAGUUUGUUUCGUGGAUUAAAAAAUGUCCAGAAUUUCGGAAAAUAUUCGCAAGUUAGAAACAAUGAUAGAAAAUGUUAAACAAGUUCUUGCAUUAAAAAUAAUAGUUGAAAAUUGUGAUCAAUUUUUUGAAAUUUGGAACAUUUAAACAAGUAAUUUUGAAUUUUCAAACAUUUCUGGAUAUGUGAAACAUUUUUGAAAUUUCAGAAAAAAAUGGAAAACUCAAACAAAAAUUGAAAUUUUCGAACAUUUUUUAUUAUAUUGAAAAAAAGGUACAACAAACCCACCAAAGAUAAAAAUAAAAAUAAAAAGGAUUUAAAACAAAUAACAGACAAAAAACCGAAACCAGAAAGAAGUUGAGAGAAAAAAACGACGGAAGGUUGCAGAACCUUCCCCAAACAAGAUGGAAGCUAUUGGAAGCUUCGUUAAUUUGUGCCCCAAUCCCACCGUGCAACCUCUGAUAGGCCGGCUCUCAGGCAGUGCCCAUAGUGGGCGAGCAGUACCAUGAGCCCAAUUCCUAUUUGGCUCCUCAAGCGCCACAUAUAGGGACUUUCGUUAAUGGCGCACACCCCUCACUAAAGAAAGAAAACUAGGUACAAAAAGCGUCAGGCCAUGUAACAUUAUUUGCCUAAAAAAGGUAUUUUUUCUGGGCGGUUUCUCCUUUGGGUUUUCCGACACAGGUUUUUUUUGUUUUUUUUCCUUUAUCCAAUUUUCCAAAUGGUAAACCUUUUUAAAAUUCCAAUCUUUUUCUUACAUUCGUGAUCUUUCUUUCAUUUUCGUGAAUUCAAAUACGCACACUGUUUGAAAUUUGUGAACUUGUUUUGCGGAAAUAAAAUUCAGGAACUUUGAUUUGAUUUUGUGAUUUUUUUUGAAAUCAUGUUUGUUUUCGUUUUCAUGAGAUUUUUCAAAUUUGUGAACUUUGUUUUCAAUUUUUGGCAAUUUUCAAAAUUUGCAAACUUUUUCCUUUCAUGAAUUUUUUCACAUUUACGAACUUGUUCAAAUUUUGUGAAUGUCUUUCGAAUUCUUUGUAUUUUUUGACUCAAUGGUCACCGAUCUACUAGGGUAUUAGUUACUGUGCACCUAUUAGUAGGUCAAAGAGUGAGCAGUUGCUACCUCUUGAGCACUGCGUUGGUUUUCUUUUGAAGAGGAAAGUGUGAUGCAGUAAAGUAGUGUAAGUAUUUCCCUCAGUUUUAAGAAUCAAGGUAUCAAUCCAGUAUGAGUCCAUGCGCGAGUCCCUCGCACCUACACAGACAAACAAGAACCUCGCAACCAACGUGAUAAAGAGGUUGUCAAUCCCUUCACGGCCACUUACGAGAGUGAGAUCUGAUAGAGAUGAUAGGAUAAUAUUUUUGGUAUUUUUGUAAUAAAGAUGCAAAGUAAAAUAAACAGAAAUAGAAAUAGCAAAGUGUUGGAAUAUUAAUAUGAUGACAAAUAGACCUGGGGGCCAUAGGUUUCACUAGUGGCUUCUCUCAAGAUAGCAUAAGUAUUGCGAUGAGUAAACAAAUUAUUGCCGAGCAAUUGAUAGAAUUGAGCAUAGUUAUGAGAAUAUCUAGGUAUGAUUAUGUAUAUAGGCAUCACGUCCGCGACAAGUAGACUGACUCCUGCCUGCAUCUACUACUAUUACUCCACACAUUGACCGCUAUCCAGCAUGCAUCUAGAGUAUUAAGUUCAUGAAGAACAGAGUAACGCAUUAAGAAAGAUGACAUGAUGUAGAGGGAUAAAAUCAUGCAAUAUGAUAUAAACCCCAUCUUUAUAUCCUCGAUGGCAACAAUACAAUACGUGCCUUGCUGCCCCUACUGUCACUGGGAAAGGACACCGCAAGAUUGAACCCAAAGCUAAGCACUUCUCCUAUUACAAGAAAGAUCAAUCUAGUAGGCCAAACCAAACUGAUAAUUCGAAGAGACUUGCAAAGAUAACCAAUCAUACAUAAAAGAAUUCAGAGGAGAUUCAAAUAUUAUUCAUAGAUAAUCUUGAUCAUAAACCCACAAUUCAUCGGAUCUCGACAAACACACUGCAAAAGAAGAUUACAUCGAAUAGAUCUCCACAAGAGAGGGGGAGAACUUUGUAUUGAGAUCCAAAAAGAAAGAUUAAGCCAUCUAGCUAAUAACUAUAGACCCGAAGGUCUGAGGUAAACUACUCACACUUCAUCGAAGAGGCCUUGGAGAUGAUGUAGAGGCCCUCCGUGAUCAAUGCCCCCUCUGGCGGAGCGCCGGAAAAGGCCCCAAGAUGGGAUCUCACGGGUACAGAAAGUUGCGGCGGUGGAAAUAGGGUUUUGGCUGCCUCUGGUAGUUUGGGGUACGUAGGUAUAUGUAGGAGGAAGAAGUACGUCGGUGGAGCAACGUGGGUCCCACGAGGGUGGAGGGCGCGCCGAGGGGGGUAGGCGCGCCCCCUACCUCGUGCCCUCCUGGUUGAUGUCUUGACGUAGGGUCCAAGUCCUCUGGAUCACGUUCGUUCCGAAAAUCACGUUCCCGAAGGUUUCAUUCCGUUUGGACUCCGUUUGAUAUUCUUUUUCUGCGAAACUCUGAAAUAGGCAAAAAAACAGUAAUUCUGGGCCGGGCCUCCGGUUAAUAGGUUAGUCCCAAAAAUAAUAUAAAAGUGUAAAAUAAAGCCCAAUAAUGUCCAAAACAGAAUAUAAUAUAGCAUGGAACAAUAAAAAAUUAUACAUACGUUGGAGACGUAUCAACAUUCAACAUGGAUCAGUCUCUUAUUCAAACAUUUGGUGCUCUUUACCGGGCCAAGCCAUGCUGCUGCUGGGGAUGAGCGUCAGUUUGCUUCGUGGCGCUGACUAGGAGCUCUCGUCUUUGUGUGCACUUUUGCGCAGUGAUUUUGGUUUUUCCGAGUGCUCCAUGAAUGUUAUUUGUGGCAUAAACUUUGCAAGAUCAUCAAAAGUUUGAUCAUGUGUGAUGUCCCAAAGUUUCAGACUUUUUUGAUUUUGUUUUCAAUUGGUUUUGAAUUUACUAUUCAUGAGGGUGUAGGGACACCGGAGAGCUGUAACACCUUUAUCUAACCCUUUCCCUUCUAAUUCCAGUCUAAAGGGGAGCAUGACAAGAAAAUCUCGUUUGAGAUAUUUACUCUUUAAGAAGAAAGAACGACACGAAUCAAUCUGAAAAAGGUGAUCUUAGGUUUCUCUUCUUGCAUUAUUCUGAGCUUGUUUCUUCCAUGUUGUUGCUGUGUUCCAUCUCAAAUCUUAACUUUUUUUAAUUUUCAUUCAUAAUCCUCCUCUCGCCAAGACCCCUUCUCUCAUUUGUAACCCUUGCUCUCCCUUGUUUUCCAUCUGAAUCUAUGCCACGUUGCUACGCUCGCCUCUAUGCCUCCUCUCAUCUGAAGGUGUGCUAAUUUCCCCUUUCUGUUCUUUUGUUUUCUGUUCAAACAAUGUACAUUUAAAAAUUGACAACGAUUGUACUGUUAACCUACCAACUUACUAUUGUGUUUUCUUUCCUUAUAUUAGUACUACGCUUACACUAAGAUUUUUCGUGUUGCAUAAUGAUUUUAAAAAUCCUUUAUCACAUGAAUUACAAUCUGGUGUAUCUUCUUAUUGUGUGAGUUGCGAAAAUUGCACAGGUACAGUUUGGUUAGUUUUGAUUAUUUUUUAUUAUUUCAGGUUUUAUUGAGUUCCCUUAUGUUAGGUUGAAUACUAUUCUUUUUCUUUAAUCUGCUUGAAGCUAUUCCUCCAAAGGCAUAUGUAAGCAUGCGUUGAAAAUAAGAGUAAGGCUGCACGGCAAAUGUUUGAACAACAGACCAGUUAUAGUUUAGUAAUUGUUGCAUUACAUAUUGAUAAAGUUUUUUUUGAUGCUGUUUUAUUUUUAUGAUGCGAGUAAAUUGGCGAAAUAAAACAAAUAUCUUUAUACAAAACUUUUAUACUUGUUUCAAUUUAUUUUUAUUAUAAUAUGUUCUUACUGAGUAUUCUUUUUAAUACUUAGUUGUGAUAAUUAACCAUGCAAAAUUGUUAAAUAAGAAUUAUUAUUCUUUCUAUACAAUUGUGACUUAUAUUAUGGAUAAAUUUGCUUCCACAAAAUUUGAAUUGUAUGUUGUAAUAAAAAAUGAUUAAACUUUAAUAAUUACAUAACUCAUGUAGUGUAUAUUUCUGUAUUUCUGUGUGUCUACAUGUGUCCCUAUAUAUACUAGUAUCAUUACAGUGUAGAUAUCUUGAAAGUGCAACGUCUAUUCAAUAUCUUAGUAGUGGUUUGCAGUUUCUAUUGGUUAAUUAUAUUUAUGGAAACUUCAAGGAUAUAAAUUGUGCCAUUGGUACAUAGGUCUUGAAUUUUGGGAUUAGUGAUAUGUUGACUACAUGUGCAUGUUUUUACUUGGAAUUAAAAUACAUCUCUUAAAAUAAUCAACGACUAACAUAAAAGGGGUGCCAAACUUACUUUCGUGUGCAUACAAUUUGAUUAUUCAUAGUCUUUAUACAAGAUCUCCUGCGAGUCUCUCACAACAAAACUAUCACGAUCAAAUUGGUUUGUUUUUACUAAUACAUGAUAUUAGUCAGUUGUGUAGAGUUGCCCUUGCGAAUAGAUUUAUUUUAAUAUCUUUGGUAUUCGUUGGAUGUAAUGGAUAACAGUAUAGUGGUUACUAGUAUAUUUUUUUAUAUUUUGGACCCUCCCCCGCUUGGGACCCAAGUCGGCUAUCAUGUUUGCCUGUCAUAUGGCCAGUCCUAGUUGUCGAGCAGCGAGUUUCUCCAAGGAAUGCGCCUUCUCAAAACAUCAACGGGUCAGAAAGAUUGGAUGGUGCGGUGGCUUCAGAGAGAGAAAGUAGACAUGCAUGUUGCUUGCCUUAGUAAACAUAAUUGUGCUAUAUUUUGCUCCCUUUUCUUGCUCUAUCUAUGCUUGUCUCUAGAAAUGUUAGCAGUUGACUAACAUCAUUUCUUCUUGUAUAAAUAAUGGAAUGGAAGAGGAGGCAAUGUUUACUUUGCUUAUUUGCCUAUCUUCCGUAUCUAAAUAGACAUGCCCACACUAACAAAGUUCUUCAAGGCACACUAUAGGCACCGACUAGGAGAUCUCCUACACAGUAGUGGCCCUCCCCUCGGGUAGCCGGUUAAUGGUCUGGCCCAGUACCUUUUGUUUGGCUGACGUAAUGAUGAUGUCAUGCACAUUUUUCCCAUUUUGUUUAUAUUUUGAAAAUCAUAAUUAAAUUUCAAAAUUAUGAUCAAGUUUGAAACACAUAUAUUUCAAAACUUAAAAAUUAUUUAAAGAAGUAAAAAUCCGUGAUUUGAAAAAUGUUAAGGCAAUGUACAAAAAUAUAAACUUUACAUGAGAAAAAUAGACAUCAAAAUAUAUAUUUGAAAUAAUGCUAAACAUGUAUAAAAAAAUGUUCCUGAUGUAUAUAAAAAUGAAAAAUGUGUAUGGAGAAAAGUAGACAUUAAAAAAAUAUAUUAAAAAUAAUGUUAAUCAUGUAUUUGACCAUACAUGUUCAAGUGCUCACACUACACGCUAGCUAAUCAUGCUGCUGUUCAAGUUCGAGUGUUCAACCGUGCCGGUGUACGUACAUGCAUCAACCUCGACCGUUUUCUCAUACAAACAAUUCUUUUUGCAUCCUCACAAACGACAUAAUCUUGCAAUCAAGUCCCUAACAAUUUGCAGCCAUUACCCUCAACUUCCUGUUUCCUUACAAACAAGAUCAUAGCCGCCACGCCAGAUCAAUCUCCUCGCCCCUUCGGAUCCGAUUGUUGCCCUGUGCUGUGAGGUAGAGGGGAAGGGAUUCUCGUCUCUCAUUCUUUGUGUAGUACUCCCUCCGUCUUUGAAAGAGUGUACUUCAAACUUUGUUGAAAAGUCAAACUUUUUUUUAUGUUUGACAGGAUUUAUACAAUAAUACACCAACAUUUGGGCCAUCAAAUUAGUAGCAUUAGAUUCAUGAUAAAAUAUAUCUUCAUCAUAUACCUAUUUGAUUUCACAAACAUUGAUAUAUUUUUGCACAAACUCGGUUAAAUUUUGAGAUAGUUUGACCCUCCAACAAAGUUGAAAGUACACUGUUUUAAGAAUGGAGGGAGUAGGUUUUAGGAUUGCGGUGACGUCGCACCGACAAUGAUGCUGGUGUCAUCUCAAAAUAAAACCAUCCAGCUCCAACCCCUUCUUGGUGACGCUUGGUGUCUCCAAGUAAGAAAAAAUAGAAGAUGAGGAACUUGUGUUGACCCCAUAUUUAUCAUAAAAUUCAACUUUCUACCCCUCAAUUCCGCUUGGCAAAAGUUACCUCCAAGGUCAAAAAUAAACUGUAAACAUGGAUGUAUAUCUAUCUAUCCAACACGAAACAUGCUCAAGAUCCACAUAUUAUGACGGUAAUCAAUUUUGGGUCAAGUGUGCCUCGUAUCAAGAACAACUAACACAGAAGGACAUGUUUUUAAUAACAAUAAUGCUAGACCUACGCAAUCUAUCUACAUAAUUUCCUUUCUAAACUAAUCAGCCCCCUCCCCCGGAUCUGGCUUGCCUGCUCCCUCCCCAUGCUUCCAUCCAUGCUCCCACUUCAUCCUACGGCAAGUCUCGUCCCCCUCCCCCCUCCCCCAUGAUUUUCACGGUGUGGGCCUGGGCCUAAUUUGUCGUCCAACCAAAAUAGGCCAAAUCAGCUAGUACGUAGGCUUACGUAGCUAAAUUACGUAGGUGUAGCAAAGUCCUUUCAAUAAAGAUGCAACAUUCUCAACCUCUACACCGAGUCGAGAGAUACUCACACAAUAAUGGGAAAUUUACCCAAACAGUACUUCUCAAGCUUAUUUAUGGGUGAUCACAUUCAUACAUCCAUGCAUGGAGGACUCGCUCACAGUCUUAUGUUGUCACUCCUCCCGCAAAAAAAAACUCCCGCAAAAAAAAAGUCUUAUGUUGUCACUCAGUGGCAAGCCCCACCGAGAGCCCACUGUUAAACGGCCUCUGGUUGUAGCAGUCGAGGUUGUUACCAUAGCCAACGCAGAGGACAUCGCAGUAGCGCUUGUAGAACCCGAUCCGGUUAGCAACACGGUCAUCCUGUCCCCUACCGCACUCGAGCCCGCCGUUGAUAAUGUUGGUGAUGACGCCAUACCCAGGCACCCGGCCUGCAGCGUUGUCCGUGCCCGACGGGGCCCAUUGGCCUGUGAUCACGGCAUGGGACGACGGCUUGUUCGCCUGAGCCGUCAUCCAAAACCAUAACGCCGUCUUAAACGACACCGUCGCGUCCGUGGCCACCAGGUCCGGGUUGUUGAGCAGGUCCACCCCAAUGGCACGCCCCGUGGGGCCAUAGUUGUAGUUCCAUGAGAGCUGGAUGGGCCCACGGCCGUAGUAUUUCUUGCCUGAUGCGCACGGCCACUCCGGCUUUGGCUCGCAGUAGCUUCCCGGUGAGCCCUGCUCCUGCUUGAAGCAGUAGCCCCAGGCGUACGGUCCGUCGGGCGCCGCGGGCCACCCGCCGAUGGUCUAGUGGGAGGUCUGCCCGAGGAAGGCCGCCACCUCCCACUUCCGCGUCUCCGUGCUCCCCGUGGUGCCGAAUGACGGGAACGCGGCGGCGGCGGCAAGGAAGGCGUCGUACGUGUAGAACCCGCAGGCCUCUUGGCGGGUGGCUCGGGUUAGCACUCUGUCGUGGACAAUAGGGAGGCCUAAAUUCAAAGCUGAAGGGUGAUGCACAUCAUGGCUAUCCUGGGUGCCUUGUGGUGACAUGGGCGAGCUGCUGAGCGAAAGCUCUGCGCCUUGGUGCCAACAGCCGUGGUGUCUGUGAGCAUCUUCUCCUCUUGAGGACGUUGUUAUGGUUCCGUGUCAGGGUUCUGGGUAAAGACUCUCAUCCAUCUCGGACUUGGCAGUGGUGUCCUAGGACGCGUGGCGUUGUAUUCAUGCCUUUUUGUACUAUCAAGAUACUAUACAAGACUGUUUUUGAAAGAGCAUGUUUGACUAUUAUUUCUGAGAACAAAAAGCACGUUUGAUUUGGUCCCUGCAUCUGCAUGGGAACCAUUGCUCUAGGCCCAACAAAUUCCAUUAGGGCCAAAAACAAAGGUGUGAGCGAGAUUUUUCUUUACGAUGAAAGAUGUCAGCGAGUUGAUGACACGGUUGCCGGUCGCCGGUCGAUGUACCUGCUAAAGAUCAACGCAGACCGUACCGCUGACACCAGUGUGGUGCCAACAUCGUUGAAGGACCUGCUGGGUCGAAACCAUGUUACAAAAACUGAUAUUUUUGCCAGCACUGUCAAAGGACCCGCUCAUCCGAGACCACGCGGCCGUCACGGAUGUGCUCAAUCACAUCAUGAACCUGAGAUCUAGCACACAUCACAACUCACCAAGCAAACGAACAAAAACACUGCCUCCACAAGAACUAACUGCGGCAUUUUAAACUAAUUUAUGUUACACUAAAGCAAUUUUAUCUUUCUAGUGACCACACGAUCGAGUGAAAUAAUAUUCCAUGGGACCAACUAUACCUGAACGUUGCUAGAUGGACCGGCCAAGCAAGCCCGAAUUUUUUAUUAUUGAUAAUUAAUAUUCCAGAAUUCGGAAACUAAUAAAACAUUAAUGAGAAAUUUGAAAAGUAGGAAAGACGCUAGAAAUAACAACAUCCAGGGCUGGACGCCAAUACCGACAACGUCCAAAGUUGGACGCUCUUAUAAACAAUGUCCAUUGGUUGAUUCGACCAGACCCCAACUGGCUACCUUUGGCCUUUGACUUGUACCCUCGGCCACCUCCGCACUGCCAAAGCUAGACUCCGCCACCUUCUAGCCCAUCAAAAAUGGCGCUCCGGCAACACCCUUCUUUCGCUAGCCGUUAUCCCACUUUUGCCAAUUCCCAUCAUCGUGCCUUGCUCGCGCCAGGGCCAUAGCUGUCCAACUCCGGUUGUCAUAUCCUCCUCAGCAAGGACCGCGCUGACCUCUUCCCCGUUACGUUCGAGCAAUCUCUAGGCACACUGACUACUACCACAAUCAUCGUGAGCCCUCUCUCCACCCUUCUUGCUCUCCUACACUAGGCAUCCGCAACCAUUUGAGUGGUUGUGUUGCGAAUUUGCAUGUGAAUAUUUGUACAUGUUGCCGUGAACUCGAGUUGUUUUUUACCUAAAAAAGGCACAUUCCUACUUUACAAAUAAAGCAACGAUCAUACAACUCAAUGCAUACAACUUGACACCAUACCACACACACUCGAGGAAGGAUACAACAAUGCAAAAGAACAACGACACCAUCACAACCCACUCCAAGCUCGCAACAAGACAAAGACGUCACGAAGAGACGAUGUUGCGCCCGACGAACCGUGGACUCCUAGAAAAUGCCUUCGGGGAGGGUAUGACACCGGAGCGCCGCAACUGACGGUCCAAAAAGAUAAUGGCACACCCGGAUAAAACCGAAGAAGGAGAGUAGCCGUGAUGCUGCCUAAAGGAAGCAUGUAACGAGGUCCAUGGCUGCCGCUGCCAUCGGCCUGGUGCAAGCUAGACAAGGAUUACCCUUUGGCACAUAGUCUUCUCCUUCCUCCUCGAAUUACCGCUGCUGCCAGCAGCCGACCAACAACGCUACAUGCAUUGAGCCGCCAACACUUCACCACAGGCCGCCACCAGCCAACGCUCCUAGCCGUCGAGCAAAGGAGGACGAAGUCGACCACCAUUGUUGCACCCCCACGCCCACCAGCCAACGGCCAUGGCAACCAGCGGCGCCCGCAACCCGCGCCACCACAACCAGCAGCCGCCACCGUCCCACCCCGACAUGAGCACUGCUUCCAAAGCCAUCUAGGAUAGCCUAUCAUCUGAGUAGAAACUGGAGAUUGCUGCCAUUGUUGUCGGCUGGCAGACAGAGGCCAGUGCUAUGGACGUCCCAAUCGAGGACGCGACCGACGAUGAAAGGCAUUCGGUUUUAUGUAAAAAUCAUCCAAGCAUAAAUGAAUAUCAUCCAGUGCAUUUAAAUAUGCAUCAAAUUUGUUCAAUUUCGUUAGAAUUCUUCCAACAUGUAACCAGACAUAUGCGGAGAUUUUUGGAUGGCCGCCUCCGUGUCCACGGACUGGUCUCCCCUGUACACGGACAAAUGCAUUGUCGUGCUUGGAGGUUGGCAUUGAAGACGCCCUUAGUAGCAUGGUUGAACCGCUGGAGGCUUUCAUCCUCUAUGCAGCCCUGAAAGCAAUUAAGUCUCCGUUGUAGAAUGAACAAUUAGACUUGCUUGAGACAUUUUUGGUAGCUGAUGAGUUACUGUUUUUUCCUCAUUAUAUUUUGGCAAUCAUUGAGUUGUGGUUGUGUGUUAGAAAUUCAUACAUUCAUGUGUAUUAAGAUGAUUUCUCAUCUAAUUGGCAAAAGCAAACUGUGCUAGAAACAAUUCAUGAAUACAAAGUGUUCUUAAUUUUUGAAAAAUGUUCUUGCUCUUAAAAAAUGUUCGGAACUUUAAAAGAUGGUCGUGCAUCGAAAACAGAAUAUGUCAAAAACACAACAGUCUGUAAUGAUUACGCAAUAAUAUGGUCUAAACCCUUAGUUUUUACUGUUUAGCAUAGAGUUUCCGACGUUUUAAGUCCCGGGUUUAGGGUUUAGGACAAUUUUUGAAAUGACAAAUUGUAAAAGGAAAAAAAGAUAUUCUCUAAUUUAUGUUUUUUUGAAUUUUGGUUAAAUCUUGUCAAACCGGUCAAACAACUGAUUCAAGAAAUAUAGAGUGUUACUAAAUAAUUACGCAAUAAUAUUAGUGUUACUAAAUAAGUAUCUUAGUUUUUUUGAAUUUUGUUCAAAUCUGGUCAAACUGUGGUCAAACUAUGGUCAAACUACUUAUUCAAGAAAUAUUACUGUUACUACAUAAUUAUUCAAGAAUAUUAGUGCUACUAAAUAAUUAUUUCAAUUUUUUGAAUUUUGGUCAAAUCUGGUCAAACUAUGGUCAAACUGUGGUCAAACUAUGGUCAAACUUAUUCAAGAAAUAUUAGCGUUACUAAAUAAUUAAUGUUUUUUUAGAAUAAUAGUUUCAAACUUAAACGGUGAAAUGUGUGACUUCAUGCUCAAGCUAAACUCCUGAGGGUUAAUAGGAUUGACAUCUUACUAUUGUUAGGAAAACAACAAGUGCAGACUCGGAAACAAGGAGAAUAGAACCUGAAAGUUAAGCGUGCUCGGGCUGGAGUAGUGAGAGGGAUGGGUGACCGGUCAGGAAGUUAGAUGAUUUGGAAUGAGUGAUCCACACUUGAGCAGUUAAGAGAGGUGAUUAGAGACUAAAUCAUCAAAUAAUUCAAAAAAAUAAAAAAAAAAUCCAAAAUUUUCAAAAAAAAAUUCAAAAAAAAAACAUUUAGUACCGGUUGGUAACACCAAACGGUACUAAAGGGGGGGGGGGCUUUAGUGCCGAAACGUUAGUGCCGGUUCCAUAACCGGCACUAAAGGCCCUUACAAACCGGUACUAAUGGUCCGUUUUCUACUAGUGAUAUUAUGCAGAUUGAAGAUCGCCGAAUUGAAGAAAAGACAAAUCGGUGAUAUUGGGUUCAUUAACACAAAUCUCAUAGAUACAACUGAGGUUAAAUAUCAUGCCAAAGAUAUCGAGGCCAACUUGCUACGAUCGUUGGUAAUAAAUGAAAACAAAGAUAUAAUACUCUUUCCUUACAACUUCAAGUGAGUGUUACUGUCUUGUGCAUAUAUAUUCGGUUUCCCUUAUUAGUCCAGGUUAUAGUAAUGUAAUUGAUGAGUUAUGCAUGCGUGCGCAGGUUCCACUAUAUUCUCUUAGAGAUUAAGCUUGAACAAGGACUAGUAACCGUCUUAGACUCGAGACGAAAAGAUCCCCAUGAGUAUGCGGACAUGACUGAAAUUCUCCAGAAGUAACUUAAAUCGAUCAUUAUCGAUCCACCAUAUCAGCAACUUUGUUCAUUUCCUGAUAUGAAGUAAUUGUUUUCUUUGUCUGGCAGGGUUUGGAGAAAAUUCACCAAAAAAGCUCCAGGACUGCCGAAGAAGCUGCAAUUUAGACACCCGAAAGUAAGUACUAUAGUAGCAUGUUCCGUGCAUCUCCUAGUGAUUCAAGUGCUAGUUUCAUCAAUACCAUUUAGCAUGCUUUCUUAUCAGUUUGAUUGACCUCUAUUUCUUGUAAAGUGGUUGUGGUAGGAACAAGGGAAUUAUUUCUGUGGAUACUACGUUUGCGAGUCCAUCCGCCACACGACCUGUGAGCGGGGCUACUCUGACGAACAAUUUGAAGUGCGUAAGCAAUAAUAUUCACAAUUUUAUUUCAUUACCAUCAUUUGUGUUGAGUUUCAUUUAUUCAUAUAUAUAUGUAUUGACCCCCUUCUUCAAAUUAGAUCUUUCGGAUGCGGGAACUCCUACCACCAGAUCGUAUGCGAGCAAUUCAAGAGGAAUUGGCGGCAUUCUUCCUUGACCACGUGAUCGCUGAAGAUGGAGAAUACUAUGUGGACCCUAUGUUCAUAUAUAAUUAGGAGAUUAUAUUGUAAGAGAUAAUUAUUGUAUAUAUGUAGCCGGUAGUGUCGGAUAGAUAUACGAGAACUUGUUGUUCGACCAAUCUCUCGGAGAAGGAGAGGUGGUCGAUAUCACUUCUCUCUGUAUGUGCAUAUGUUCAUGACGAUCUUCUGUUUCCUUCAUUUGCUUACUAGCUAGCGUGUCUAGUCCUCUCUAUAUAUACGUAUAUAGUACGUAGCGUCGACCAAGCACGGAGAUAAGAGAGGACACUUCUCUCUAUUAAUUAGCUAGCUAACACAAUAUAUGAAACACCUAAAUUAACNNNNNNNNNNNNNNNNNNNNNNNNNNNNNNNNNNNNNNNNNNNNNNNNNNNNNNNNNNNNNNNNNNNNNNNNNNNNNNNNNNNNNNNNNNNNNNNNNNNNNNNNNNNNNNNNNNNNNNNNNNNNNNNNNNNNNNNNNNNNNNNNNNNNNNNNNNNNNNNNNNNNNNNNNNNNNNNNNNCCCCAGCCCCUGAAAUGCUGACGCGUGGAUGCCUUUUGGUCCCGGUUGGUGCCACCAACCGGGACCAAAGGCCCUCCUGCCUGGGCUCGGCGCACCGGCCACGUGGAGGCCUAUCUGUCCCGGUUCUUGUUUGAACCGGGACUAAAGGGCUAGGGCAUUAGUAACGACCCUUUAGUCCUGGUUCAAAAACCGGUACAAAAGGCCCUCACUAACCGGGACAGAUGACCCUUUUUCUACUAGUGGCCCCAACCAAAGCCCUGUUUUCUACUAGUGCUUUGUCCUAAUCUAAUAUCCAAAAGUAAUUAUUUUGUCCGGAGACACGACAUAGAUUAUAUAGAUUAUACAGAAUAAAUAGUGCUACACAUACUAAAUACGUACAGUUAGUCAUAUAUAAUAAUGGAACUCUUUUUGGUAUCUUCAAAUUACUAACUUGAUAUUAGUGGCUUGCAGUAUAAAUUGAAAUUUCAAAAAUAAAUAAAUACAAACACGGAUUACGACAUAGUGUGCACAUGAACACACUUCAUCACUUUUAUCGCCUCGAAAAUUUAGAUUUCUACUCAUGAUCAUCUCUGACAACAAUAAUUCAAUGGCUUUGUACAAAGGAUAAAAUGGCUAGGUCACAUUCGGAGCUUUACCUCUACGUAUGAAUAUCAUGUAGACAACUAAAUGUCCUUUUUUGCGGGGAAGACAACUAAAUGUCACAUGAACAAAUAACCUGUUGUCGCAGCCUCUACUUGACUUCUUUGUCAUCAUCUUCAACAGGAAUUGACUAAAUGUCACAUGAACAAACCAGCUGUUAGCUCAGCAUCCAAAUUUGACUUCUUUCUCCUAAUCUAAUAUUCAAAAACUAAUUUGUCCGGGACACCACAUAUACUAGCUUAAACACUUACAGGCAGUUAGGCAUACAAUAAUGGAAAAUUUUCAGGUAUCUUCAAAUGAAUAACUUGAUAUUAGUGGCUUAAUAUUAGUGGCUUGCAGUAUAAAUUAAAUAUUUUAUUUUAUUUAGGAAGACUGAUGACAAUAUAGUGCGUGCAUGCACAGACUUCGUCACUUUUAGCGCCACACAAAUUGAAAUUCCUAUUCAUGAUUAUAUCUGACGAUAAUAAGUCAAUAACUUUGUACAGUGGGUAAAAUGUCUAGGACAUGUUCUGAGCUUUGCUUUUACGUAUUGAUAAAUAUCACAUGAACCAAUCUACUGUUACCUCAGUAUCCAAACUUCACUUCUUGCUACCAAUCUAAUAUCCAAAUAUAAUUGUUUUCUCUAGAGACAUAGCAUAUACUAUAUAGGUUAUACUGUAUAAAUUGUGUGACAAAUAUAUGUAAAUGUCUAUACAAAACUAAUUGGAGGACAAAAAUACCAUCAAUUAUAGUACAAUGAAAUCUACAGUAUAAAUGUUUUGAAAAAGAAUAGUUUAUGAAAAUUUCCACCCAAGACUACAAAUAUCAUAUUCUUACGGGAGAAAAAGUUUGAAAAAUAAAAUCUUUUUACAAAUGCCAUCUAUUAUAUACUAAAAGUACUUAACGGGAUAACUAGAAAAAAGAUAAUUCUUCAAGAAAAUUUCACGAUAAUUAGAAACAUCUGGCGAUUAUUUUAAAGCUCUCUAAGAUAACAACAAUUAAAUUUCUAUAAUAUCUCUUUCUCAUCGAAGUUGGACAAAACCCACGUACGCCAUUAUAAAAAAAAUGUUUCAUCCCUUUUAGUUUUCCCCUAAAUUUGUACACAUAGAUGGGCCACCAGCUAUAGGUUCGAUCUUUCCCUCAAGAAAAACAAAGCUAUAGGAUCGAUCACAUCUGGAAAAACAUAAAGAAACGUGAGAACAAACCAUUCUCAAAACCCUCUCACAUCUUUCGUCCUAAAAAAGUCUCACGUCAACUGCUGCUCUCUGCUCCCGUCCAUCGGAUGCAUCACAUCAUGGUUUUCGCCCAUGAUUCCACACCCCUUGCAGUUCCGCCUUUCCUCCUCACCAUUGUCACGACAUCCUGAUGGCAGAGUAACAAGUAUCUUCCUCGAUGCCUCCUUCAUUAGUACAGAUCCCAUGUUGGACAUCCUCUUCAACAACUCAGUCCCUGGCUUGUGGUGAUUUACCUCUUCAUCCGGUUCUUCUCUGCCCCAGCCUAUGGAGAUUAUAGGUCUGCUACCAAGCCUACGAUGCUUUCAUGUUUAUAUGGAAAUAUUAUGUUCUUCGUCGGUCCAUGCGGUGUUAUUUCGGGUGUUCUCCAUUAGUGCAAUAAAACAAUAUGCAAUAGGCUAAACAACAUACAAAUUAAUUAGACCACUUUUUGUUAAAAUUCUUGCGGUUGUAGUAAAAAAUGUGAUGUUAAUAAAUAGCUUCAUUUACCAUAACUUUGUUUACAAAAAAACUGAAGUAUUGAAACAAUAUGUUAUCAUUACUGAACCUUAUAAAAUCCUAGCCCGCGCAUCGAGUGGGCCACUUUUCUAGUUCGUCUAAUAAGCACAGUGAUCUCAAUGUCGCAUUCCUGAGCCUUGUUCCAACUUGAUGUAAAUAAAUCAUAAUCGUUGACUUCUCAGUUGUCAUUGAUUUGUUUCCCAUUGCACACAAUAUCCUACGAGUGGUAAUGAUUGGAUAAAGAGGUUGCCAGACAGUUUCCAAGUGGAGUUGUCUGGAAUAGUAUAAAAGAGCAGCAGGUAAUUUCUCACAGCUGUACUGAAUGUCAUCCAUGAAGUAAAUCAAACUGGUGUCCACAUGUGUUGCAUCAAGCAUCUUUAAUGACAAGUAAGGUCCAGGUAGUCCUUGCAGGCACCUUAUACUAGCAUCAGACUCGCGAAUCAACAAUGGUUGUCUUACCAAUAUAACAGCUCGUUUCUUCCUUGAGAUAAACACCUGACCACUGCACUCCAAGGAUGGCAAUGGUAGUGGUCGCCGACAAUCACCUUGCAAAAUAAAAAUUCCAUCUCCAAUUACCCUCUGAAGCUUCACUAUCUUUUGCCAAUAAUUAGAUACACUUCUCACGACAAUAUUUCGGAAUACUGAUUCAUUAUAGGCGUCUCACUCAAACUGGUGUCCACAUGUGUUGCAUCAAGCAUCUUUAAUGACAAGUAAGGUCCAGGUAGUCCUUGCAGGCACCUUAUACUAGCAUCAGACUCGCGAAUCAACAAUGGUUGUCUUACCAAUAUAACAGCUCGUUUCUUCCUUGAGAUAAACACCUGACCACUGCACUCCAAGGAUGGCAAUGGUAGUGGUCGCCGACAAUCACCUUGCAAAAUAAAAAUUCCAUCUCCAAUUACCCUCUGAAGCUUCACUAUCUUUUGCCAAUAAUUAGAUACACUUCUCACGACAAUAUUUCGGAAUACUGAUUCAUUAUAGGCGUCUCACUGAUGCAGAGUGGAAACAUGUUGAGGAGCGAUUGGAAAUACGGUUGAGCAGUUGGAAAGGCAGGUUGCUCUCCAUUGGAGGACGACUAGUUUUGAUCAAUUUUGUCCUCACAAACAUGGUUCUCUACAUGCUCUCAAUUUUCCAACUUUCAAAAGGGGUUCUGCAAAGACUGGAUUACUUCAUGUCCAGAUUCUUUGGCAAGGAAACAAUGAAAAGAAAAAAUAUAUGCUAACCAAAUGGAGCAUUGUUUGUCGACGGAAAGACCAGGAAGGAUUAGGGGUUCAAGACCUCCAGGUUAAGAAUGAUGCCUUACUUAGUAAAUGGCUGUUCAAGCUACUUACCGAGGAUUUUGUUUGGCAAAGUCUGUUGCGCAACAAGUAUUUAGGUCAAAAGGCGUUAACCCAGGCAUAUUGAAGCCCUAUGACUCGCAUUUUUGGGCUGGACUGAUUGCGGUCAAGAAACAUCUUUUCCGCUUCAGAUCUUUCACGAUAAAGGACGGCUCAGAGAUACGUUUCUAUGAGGACAAGUGGCUAGGAACUGCCACUGUUCGAGUACAGUACCUAGCCUUAUACUGCAUUGUACGCGAUAAGAAUGGUACUCUUGCGCAUGUGAUGUGCUCUUCCCCACCAGAUAUAUCAUUUAGGAGGGAUUUGAUUGGCCCCCGUCUUGUGUCAUGGCAACAUGUGCUAUCUCGUUUGGAUUCAAUUAACUUGACACGAGGACGGGAUGUGUUUCACUGGAAUCUUACUACAUCUGGGUCCUUCACAGUUGACUCUAUGUACCGUGCACUCUCGCACACAGAGAAUUCAAUGGACAAUUAUAAACAAAUAUGAAAAUCGAAGGUGCCACUAAAAGUUGAGAUUUUCAUGUGGUAUUUUCCAAGAGGAGUUGCGCCAACUAAAGACAAUCUCGCUCGACACAACUGGAAUGGAAGCAAGAUGUGUAAUUUUUUUACUCAUGAUGAGACAAUUAAACACCUCUUCUUUCAAUGCAAGUUUACGCGUUCUACAUGGUUAGUCAUCCAAACAGUGUCAAAUUUAUAUUCACCAACAAGUGCUGCCAAUAUAUAUGCCACUGACUUGAUGGAAUACCAAAUACGUUUAGCACGCUAAUACAUCCCAUGCUGCACUCUACCUUGUCGGCGACCGGACCAACACUCUGGGGAGCGCGGUCGGCCACCGGACAUGGCCACGACAGAAUCGGGCGAGCUCCGGUUAGAUUAUUCCCAUUGCAGCUGUAGAUGCUCUUAGCAUUGCUGAUUAUUUCUGACCCACCACAGACUUGGCUAAUCUUCCUACCCCACCCUACCCUCCGGCCAUGAGAAUCAUUGAUCGCUUACUCCUGCUAUAUCUAGCAAGAUGUGUUCAAAUUUUGGGGCAAAAACUACAACAUUUUGCAGUGCCGUUUUGUUUGUCAUACUACCGUUUUAUUUAUAUAUACACGAGCGUACUGCUUUUGCACAACACAAAGUUGCCGAAUAUUAUAUUUUUAAGCAACAAGUUAAUCUCAUACUGCAUCCAUCCCAUAAUGUAGUGCGCUCGUGUUUCAGUGGUAUAAUUUCUGCUGCCGCCGUAAUCUGUCUCGUUAGUUAAAUUUAUAGUUAAAUUUAGAUCUUGGAAAGCCGGGACGCAGUACAUUGUACUAGAAUGGAGGGAGUAGUAUACGUUUCUUUGCAAGCAGAACCCACUAGGUCUUCAUCGCGUGUUAACUAAUUUAUCAAUCAAACGUGGUUUAUCAGUCCAUUUCUCCUAUUUAUAAGAGAAGACGUGAUCACAUGGUCCUGUGAAGUAGGAGUAAUAUGAAGAAGAUAAUGGAAAUUUUUGGCGUGCCACACAGUAGAAUUCAAUCAAGUGAGUACAUUGGCGUUGCACGCGCCUUUUCGAUCGGCCAGGGUGUGUCAUCCAUUGUGUCUAGGGACCUCUUCGAGUGGCUCUUGCUCAACCGCAACAUUGCCAAGAGGCCUGCGGCGGGUACACAUAUGACCUCAUACCCCUCCUUCCGAACCACUGGGAGCACGGUGGUGGGAGGUAGCAGGAUUCCUUGGGAUGACCUCCAACGUGACCACCGGAGGGUGGCUCACGUUCCCUGAUGGCCCGUACUCGUGGGGCUACUGCUUCAAGCAGGAGCAGCGCUCGCCGGGAAGCUACUACGAGUCAUCGUCAGAGUGACCAUGUGCGUCAGGCGAAAAAUACUACGGUCACGGCCCCAUCCAGCUCUCAUGGAACUACAACUAUGACCCCACGGAGCGUGCCAUUAGGGUGGACCUGCUCAACAACAAGGACCUGGUGACCACGGACCCAUAAAAAAGAGACAGCAAAGUCAUAAAACCCAAAGUCAUAUAAAAGCAAUGCUAUGUGUAGGCGAGUAAAAGAAAAACCCAAAGUGAUUAGAUCCACGAUCGGCAAACUACAAAAGAGACCAUAUCCGCACCAACCAUCUCAUGACACCAGACAGACCACAAGGUUCUUCAAUAGCAAUGCUUCCAAGAAGGGAGCGACACUCAAGUGUUGCCGUCACCAGAUCCAACCACCAAGGCCCAAAUCUAGGUUUUCACCCGGAAAAAAUAAUCGAAGCAUAUCCGAGUAAUGCCUUCAACAAGGUAAUGAGUGGGCCGAGCCUGUUAACUGCUCAUUUUUAUUGCUUGGAUGCAUCACCAGAGCUAAAUCUUGCUUAUUGCCAAACCAAUGGUAGGGUCACCUACAGAGCUGGAAGUUGUGGGACAACCCAUUUAGCUCAUUUGUGUGAACCUUCUAUGCCACUUUGCAUGGUUUGAGCAAGGUUUUGUGUCGGGCUUUUUUCUGUGCAGUAUCUUAGCCGGUUUUCUGUUUUUUCUUUUUUCUUUUAUUUUCUUUGUUCUUCUUUUGGUUUUAUUUUCUUGGUUUCUUUCCUUUUCCUUCUCUUGUUUUCUUGUCGUAUAUCAUAGCUAACAUUUGUGUUGCUUGAUGGGUAACUCUAGGCUAAGUGGGUAUACACUUUGCUAAAGUGGAUUGGCAUUUACUACAACACAGGUUAUUCCUAGCACUUACAAGCGAGUUGUGUUGCUUGACCACUGUGGUAAAGGAAUGCCUAGAGGAUCAAAUAACUACGUUUAUCUAUCAAGGAAAGUGGUUUCAGUGGAACCACAAGGGACACUGAGAGUGGCCAUAGAAUCCUAUGGCAAGUCUGGUCGCUGUAUUGCUCGAAAAGGUCACAUCAGCUUUCCUGUUGAACACCACCAAACAAGAACGCGUUUUUGUUCAGCUGGGGACGCCACAGUGGAGGUUGUCAUAGCUUCGUCCUUUCUUCUUAGUGAAAGGUGUACGCUUCGCUCUGUUGAUUACCCAGCCAUAUAUAGUAAGAAGGAUAUAUAUGUAAGAUGUGAAACUAACUUUUGUGUAACAUCAUCAGGUCUAGUCUAGCUUAUCUUAGUCAUAUAACUAGCUAUCGUACUAACAAGAACUUGUAUGUUGUGACUCGUUGUGGUUUGUUAAAUUCUGAGUUGGAUUGUAACUCUAUCUUUUGAUCUGAUUGUUUUACUUCCUUUUGACUAUUAUUUAAGUUGUUAUAUAUGUCGUGUCUUUUGCCGAGGGUGUGCAAGUCUCUUUUGUAUUCCUAUGGCCUUCGAAGAUCUAAGCUGAUAUUGAAGGAAACAAAAAAAGUAACCCAAUGGGACAACCAUGCCCUCUAGAAACCUCUAUCACCUUCAGAGAACUAAGCCAUGAUAUUUAAGAAAACUAAAGUAGAUACAAAAUUCAUACAUAUAAUUGUAAUUCAUCUAAAUGGAAUAAACUUAUCUACAAAGACAUCCAACUUUCUCCCUUUUCUGAUAUAUAAAAACACUAAAGGCUUAGGCAAUGAUUUUGAAGUGACAUUAUCUGAAAAAUAAAUAAUAAUAAUACUAUGUGUUUGGGUUUAUAAUCCCUCAAAAAAUAGUUUUUGCUGAAUGUAAUAGAAAUUUGAACCAGUAAGACUAUUCAUGGAAAAGGAGUUUUAACAAUAAAAGGUAAAAAUGUUUAGUAUAAAAUGGCCCAACAUUAUUUUAAUUAGUAAACAAAGCCCAUAAACAUAAUUUUAAUUCAUGUAAGUGGAAUAAAUUAAUCUACAAGGAUAAUGACGGCGCCGAGCUUUUUAUAUGGACCGGCUAGGGUUAGUGGCCAGGCCUGCCUACUGUGUCGUGUCACAUUCUUGGUUAGAUCCGAUCCACUCACGCGACAAAAGCAUGAAUGCGCCAUCCAAGCGGCAACAAUAAUUGAGGAGCCUCGCUCGCUCGCUCGCAUGGAAAGCGACACAUCAAUUACCCAGAAAUUGAAUUAAAUUGAAUUGGUGCGGUGCACGCGUGCGGCGUCAAUCGAUUAUUUUACCGAGACGAGCAAGAGGGAAGUAGUCCCCUUGUACUAAAGCAGGUGGAGUUUAGGAGGGGCUGCAGAAGAAAAAUCUCGUCAGAAAACAAGAUCUCUGUCAUGAAGAUCAAGAGGAAGGGGGGCAGCUCACCUACCUGCUGCUUGGCUUGGCCAGGAGGGGGCUCCGCUCGAACCGUCGGCCCCUGCUCCUGCAUCAAAACCAAACAGAGAUGAAAGCCAAUGAGAUGCUGCAAGGAAUAAUGUUUAAGGGAACAUGUUGUAACAUAGAAUCAUCUCAAACUCAAAGGAGGGAGGGGGCAGCGAUGCACGACCAGCAACCAAUCUAGGGUUCGAUAGAAGCAAGCAGCCAAGCAUAAGGAAAUGGCAAGGAAACCAGAUCCCCAAUGUAUAUGAUGAGGAAGGUGAGGGGGGAAGGGGCAGCUCACCUGACUAACUGCUGGUUGGCGUUGGCGUUGGCUUGGCGUCGAGGGGGAGGAGGAGCCGCUCUGCUCCUCUCCGUCGAGGGGGACACUAGCUAGCACACAGCUCGAGCGGAAAUGACGGCGGGUGCUAUGGAGGGACAGCGGCUAGGUUAAGCUUGGGGUGGUGAAUAGGAACUGGACGGGCCCAAAUGGGUAAUACGUACCUGGGCUGCGUUUCGGUGGCGGGCCGGAGCCGGAGCCACCAGGAUAGGAUAGGCCAUUCGCAGGCCUUAGCAUUUCCUUCCUCAAUCCAAUGUAUAUGAGGAGGGUGAGGGGGGACAUCCACUCGAGCAACAGGAGCGUCGUGCCUCCGUGAAGAAUCUGUAGCUUGGGUUGCACGACGAGAUGACGUGACCGCCGGCUGAAUCUCAUGCUUGCUGAUGCGGAAGGAGACCACUCGUAGGAUCGGCCGGCGAACGAAGGGCCGUCAGACCACCACCGGUGAUGGACGUGGCGAAUGGCUGAUACGAGUGAGAGAGAUUAGAUUUCUGGAGGAGGGAGGGAGGAAGGUUGGAUGCGCAGCAGAGAAGAGGAGAUGGAGAUUAGGUUACGGGUGGGUGUUUAUAUAGUACCGUGGAGGUGGAGGUGGAGGUGGGGCAUUAAUCACCCUGGGGCCCCGCGGGUUAGCGUGUCACAAUCUUAUAUCCGAUCCACCUUCCCUCUCGCACGCGAAAAAAACAUGAAUGCGUGCAAUUAUCGACGACGAAAGUGACGCGCCAUGCAUGCAUUCAAGUAAUCGAUUACCGAGGAGACGCGCCAAAUAGUACUACUUCUGUGCCAGCCUCCCCGUGAUGCAACCUCCCCCAGCAGCGCAGCGCAGCGUGAUGGAUGGAUGGAUUGAUUGAGAAACAAUAAUUACUACUACUCCAUAAAUACUACUCCUCUCCCCAAACUUGUAGCAGCGGCAGCAAGUUUGGUCGUUUCUCCUUCCUUUUUCAUUUUCAUUCAUUUCAUGCAAAGAAAAGGAAAAAAAAAAUAAAAAUAAAAAGCCUGCCUAAACACAGUUUGUUUACUGCUAAACUUGUACUACUAUGUAAUAUAUGUGCAAAGGAACGUCCAUUGACACAUACAUCGCCUCCUUGUCAUAGUUUUCGCCACUCAACCAAUUUUGCACAAUUUCUAUGUGUGGGCACACAGAAAAAUAGUGGACAUAUAAAGUUACUACUCCCUCAAGGAAUGGAUGUAUUUAGAUGUAUUAGUUCUAGAUACGUCCAUUUGUAUCCAUUUCUACGAUAAGUAUUUUCGGACGAAGGGAAUAAAUUGGUACAAUUCUGCUCCGAGCUAGCUAAAUUGAAUCAAAAUACAUGGUCAAAACAACAAGCGGAGAGGAGGCAACGGAGAUCAAUAGACUCUUCAUCACCAACAAAGCCUCCAAUUCAGAUCAACAACAACAACAUAAGUCUUCUUCUUCUUCUUCUUCUUCUUCUUCUUCUUCUUCUUCUUCUUCUUCUUCUUCUUCUUCUUCUUCUUCUUCUUCUUCGUCUUCUUCUUCUUCUUCUUCUUCUCUACCUUGAACCUUCAACUCAGACUCUCUUUCCCUGUUGCCCCUGCCUGAUACACACACAGCAGCAACAAACCACUCAUCAGGCUCACUUCAGUUUCAUCAAUUACUAGUGUUUGGGAUGCAAUGCACAGAUAUAAAUCAAUGUUGCAAGCCAAUGUGCGCCAUCGUCCAUGUAUGCAUAAAAAAAUUACGCUUGUUUUAGGGAACUACAGACCUACUACAUCUCACACUAAAACGAUUCCAUCGCAGCAGGCAAAAUGAAUGCAAAUAUAGCAGGGGCAAUGUGCAGCAGCCAAACAACAGGUAGCAUAAUCACGUGUUAAAAAAAACCUCCAUCCCAUCCCAACAUGGAAAAUACAUUGGCCUGUGGGGAGGUGAAACUACUGGGUUGACAAGUUGAAUUCGUUAAGUUGACAAGUUCUCCUUCAUGGUCACAUACCUUCCUACUUGGGUGCCAACCAAAAAAAAACAGGAUUCACAUUCUAAUCUAUACUUGGGUCACCAUCAACUACUGACAGCUGUUACUGUGCUCCUUGAGCUCAAACCCUUUCCAAUCAAAAAACCAUAUACAGCUCUGUCUACCUGGGCUGGGCUGGGCAGUACAUGCAAGCUUUUAACCAAACAAGACCAGAGGAAAACAAUCAAACAUCAUCAUCAGCCAAUGCCCUUGCAUCAUGUUGCCUGGUAUCAAGUCAAAGCAAUUCACUUGUCCUCAGUAACUGGCUGACGGCAACGUUUCAUUGAGUUACUUACUACAAUCUGGUCAGAAUUUGUCAUAAAUCAAAACAUUAUUCAUGUUGUAAUUUUCAGAAAGCCAAAGGAGACCAUGGGAAUCUGACCAGUACAGUGUCUUGGUCUGAUGUAUUCCAGUGAACAUACCUUACCCAUGAUGAUGGGCUGUCGGCUCAGUCCAACUCAUUCAAAGUAUCGGAUCAUGUGUACCUGAACCAGAAUACCAACAUUUCAGUUAAGAGAUGCACCUGUGACAAACUAGCAUUUGAUGCUCACACAACAUGAUGAGGUGUUGCAGCAACAGAUAGAAAUGGUUUACUGAAGUUCAAAAGACGACCAGGUCAAAUAUCAUGAAUUUUCAAUGAGUUGAACACUGUUAGCACCAUACACAUAGUACUUGGCAAGUAAACUAGCCAUUCCGUCAACAUAAAGGCAGUAAAUAUUCGAAAUAGUGAUUUUUGUAUUAAUCAAAGACUUGUUCCGCUAGUGGUACUUGCAACAGAAAGUCCAGUUUCUACCAAUGAAGCAAAAGAACAAGAGAAACUAAAUUUUAUUGUCAAGUAAGAAUUAUCCCAUGUAGCAAUUAGUAGUAUGUUGAUCAGGCACUACUGGUUAUCCCUUCAAGAUUUUGGAUGCAUCACAUCAAUAUUUUUAAUGUUAUCAUGUUACAGUUGAUAAGGUCAGAUUCAAAGAAACUGUAUCAAACCAAGCAAACCCAGAAACACUCAGCUAUUUUAAUAUGCACAAAUCUAUUAGUACAGAAAUUUCUUUCCCGACAAAUACAUAUCAGAAAGGUAUAAGCUAUGAAAAAGGAAUAUGAAGUCAUGAAGUGUGUUUAAAUGUCUCACCAAACCAAUUGCAGAUCAAGAUGUCCAAGAUAAUACUAUCCCACCAGCACUCAUUAAAGUUUGGCAACAUAUGUCACAUGGUAAGCUGCAAAAAAAGAUAAUAAGCACACUUCAUUGUCAAAGAUGGCAAUAAGGAGACAAAAAACAUAACUUCUUCCAAACAAGAUGACCAGAUCUAACCUCCAUUAGCUCGAAGCCAAUCGACAAGACCCAAAGGAGAGGUUGAUUCCUUAUCAUUACAUCCUUGCCCCACCAAGACAUGGGCGACCACAAAUUCUUCAAACAAUAUCUCCUAUAUUGAUCACGGAAGCCGUCAAAUUUGCUGGAAUAAAUGACAACAAUAAUACAAACUAGGCCAUCUUCAUGAAAUGGGAAGGUUCACAUGGAAAUCAUACAUAAAUAUUUAUGAGCUUGUUUUUAGGGUUUUCUGGAACAUACAGACGGCAAUCCAUAGGAUCUCCCCAAUCUUUUCUGCCAAAAAGGCGACGGCUGAAAGCAUUUUUUUCCCACCGUGAUGAACAUGACAGCGAAAAGGAAAAUUCAGGUUGCCUCAGCCAUACUACUAGUACAUAAUACCUCUUGAUAGAUGUCUCGCUACUGUAAGAGGCAGCGCCCUUUGGAUCUAGAGCCCAGCUGAAACGGGAAAAUAGAUUGAAUCUCGGGUCAGAAGGUGAGCUGGAAAGAAGAAAAUAAACACAUUCCCGCAAAAUCUGGGGCCACCUGCUCUGGUCCUCAUGCAUUGGUACUGAUUUAUCCAUGCUAUUCAACUUUUGCUCUUACCGGCUCCUAUAACAUUGUAGUCUAUACAAGGAUGGCGUAAUAACCAUACUACUAGCCAUUUUACUCUUACACGAGGCAUUGGCAAAACCCAGAGAAGUAAAUGAAAGCCUCAACCGCCGGCUGAAUGCUUAAUAGAACAAUUUUCCUAGAGUGCAACUAGCAUGGCUCAUAGGAAAAACAUUAAUCGUCAGCCCCUGUUGACAAUCACCACUGUCCAACUCAUCGCGGUAAAAUAAGGUAAAUUCUAAAUCUAAAUUUAGAUAUUGACCAUUUGAACUAUUGGGUAACAAUGGAAAGCCAUACAGGGGUGGACUAAAACCGCCACUCUCUUGUCGUUUUCUACACGUGGCAUCAGGCAACCCAGACACAUAAAUGAAAACCCGAUCUGGAGGCUGAACACUUAAUUAAUAGAACAUUUCCCUACAGUCCAACUAGCAUGGCUCAUAGAAAAAAUUAAGCAUAAAAUUAGCUGUGUUGCGCGUGACAUGGCCAACCCAUACAAAUAAAUGAAAACCUCAACAGCAGGCUUAACACAGUGCAAGUAGCAUGGCUCAUAAACAUUAAUCGUCAGCACCCUGUUGACAAUGAACUAUUUAGGAAACAAUGGAAAGCCAUACAGGGGUGAACUAAAACCGCCACUCACACGUGGCAUCGGCCAGCCCAGACAAAUAAGUGAAAACCUGAACAGGAGGCUGAAUGCUUAAUUAAUAGAACAUUUUCCUACAAUCCAACUAGCCGUGUUCCAAGUGGCAUCAACCAACCAAGACAAAAAAAUGAAAACCUCAACUGCAGGCUGAGCACCUAAUUAAUAGAACAUUUUCUUAUGGUGCAAGUAUGGCCCAUAGAAAAAACGAAUUGACAGCUCCCAACAACAAUCACCACUCUUUAGCACAUCAGUCAUUGUUGCAUUGCAAGAUAGAUAAAGUAAAUACUAAACCCUAAAUCAAGAUAUUGGAGUACUUGGUAAUAAUGGAAAGCCAUACAAUGUAGGUUCUAUGUCAACCCGGUGGCACGUGCGGUGGCAAUCGACUCACGCAAGCAACCCUUAUAAUGAAAUAAUAAAUAUGUAAAGGCGGUAACAAGUGCGAGGCGAAAGGUUAUACAUCCUUAUCCCCCUAUUUCCCUCAUCCUUGCAAGCGCCUCAAUCGAGAUCAUCAUACGAGCGACCGCUCGCAUUCCCAUCGUUUUUGUAGUCGCCAUAGCCAGCAGUGUCCUGGUCGCUGCUCUCCGCCUGCUGAGCUCCAAAAGCGGCCCUGAGAAGCCACGGCAACGAGAUCCUGAACCUCCUCAACAUGACCCUAGGCAAAGGGCUGCCAUCCGGGGACGCAGGUGCCGCUACCGCAGCGGCAGCUGCCUGGCGCUGGUGGUCAUAGAUGGCGGCAGACAGGGCAGGAGCUGUGGAGGUCAAGCCAUGGCAGGAUGCAGUCCUUGUGGAAGACGUGCUGGGCGCCCCCAUCGACGGCGACAUUAGGGAGUGCGGCAACCGCAGCCUUGGCGGUGGGCAGGGUGCCAUAGCGGCUAGGGUCGUUCUCAGCGAGCUGCUGGAUGAGCUGCUUGAGGCCGGAUCCCAUGAAGUAGUCGACGAGGCUGACCCCGCCGGCGCCGGGGGCGGGCGAGGAGACGAAUCCACCGGGGAAGGAGGAGCCCUCGAGGACAAUCUGGAUGGUGGCGCCGCCGGAGAGGAGGCCUCCAAGGUGGACGUCGAACUGGUUGCUGGGGUUGGAGGAGGCGGUGGCGGCGGGGGUCGCGGAGGGGGAGGGCGGGCCGAGGAACCACCGCGAGGUCACUGGGGUUGUGGAGGUCGAGGAGGCUGGAGAAGGGGAACAAGGGAGACGGGUGGGGCUGGUGGUGGGGGAUAGGGUUUGGGGGCUCCUCCUCGUCGAAGAGCUCCUCGACGAAGCCCCCGGCGCAGACAAGGCAGAAGACUUCGUCGUCGCGGGAGGCGGGGGCGGCGAUGGUGAUGGCAUGGUGGCACUGGUGGCAGUAGUAGCCCUGCUGCGGGAGAGCGCCGACGACGACAUGGCGGCGGCGGUGCAGACGGAGGAAGGGGCUCCGUCGCGGGAGCGGGGGGUGGGGGGCGCCGGCGGCUGAGAAGCAAGAAGAAGGGGAUUAGGGUUAGCUGGAGGGUAGACAGAUGGGCUUUGCUGCUGUUUGUUUUGGUUAGUUGGGCCCGAAAUUUUUGAACACGAGCGUGCCAUUGAACUGGAAAUUUUCAGGGAUCCCAAAUAGAAAAACACAAUGGCGUUCCGAUGCUUCCAUAACAUCCACCUGCCGAGAAGGCAUUUAGCGCGCAAAGACUUGUGGUAGUGGCUCGCGUUGUCGUCCUGCCUGCCGCACCACUGACCCAAGGUUUCAUUUUGCCGUGGUUCCAACUCCAUCCUCCCAGUUAUUGAUCCUAGCCAGUGUCAAACUUGUUUGACGAACACACAGUCAAUUAGCGAGUGUUGCAUAGUCUCUUCCUGUUGGUUGCACAAUGGGCAUGCAUCCUGGUGGGGUAAUCCACGCCGAGCAAGCCUGUCAGAUGUUCAGCAUCGAUUUCUGAGUGCUAGCCAGGCAAAAAAAAGGGCAUUGGAGGGUUGCCUUAGACUGCCAAGUGAAUGAGGUCGUCGAGGAUAACUCGAGUCCCAUGUACCUAACCGCAUAUGCUGAGCAAGCCGAGAAGUUACCAUUCGAUUCCCAAGCCCACGUGGCUGAAUCUUCCACUCCAUUUGUUAGUUGCCAGGAAGAGAUUCGUGGCCACAAAAGUAUGAACUGGCCCGAAAAAUGUUGGGUAAGGUCAGGGCCAAUGUCCCCUGCCCAAUUGUCCUCCGUGAGCGCGUCUGCGACAAGUCUGCUUUUCUUGACUAUCCUCAUGAUCCUUUCAUAAAUAUCUGGCACAAUCUCGCAAAUCCGUAGACCAUUGAUCCACCGAUCCUCCCGAAACAGCGUUGCUCUCCCAUCAUCGAUCGUCCUACAUGCAGCCGCCUCACUAGGGCGCGAGAUUCUGGCAGGGACAUUGAUCUGAAAUUUCUUCAACGGUCUGUCUUUAACAACCUUUUGCAGCCAUGGCCAACGCGCUUGUAGCGCCUUGUUCAGCCAGUGAAGAUUGGGGAUUCCUAAGCCACCAUCCCACUUCAUCGUGCAGACCACCUCCCAAGCUACCGCCCCAUUUUCCACCUCGUGCUUCUUUUUUGCUACACCACAAAAAGCCUCUGCAAAUCUUUACUAGGGCCGACAGGGUUUUGAAGGCAGUUCCAACGCUAUCAUAGAGUGGACAGGAAUAGCGCAUAACACAGAUUGGAUAAGUAGAAGUCGGCCGUCUUUUGGUAGCAUGGCUGCCUUCCAAAGCGGGAGACAAUCAACAACUCGAUCCACCAGACCUUGCAAUUGCGUCGGUGUUUGUUUUCUGAUCGUCAACAACAUACCCAGGUAUUUGCACGGAAACGGCGAAGUGGUGCAGCCCAAGGAUGCCGAGACAACCUCCAUCUCAUCAUGUGAGCAUCUAACGGACAUGGCCACGCACUUACUCAUGUUCACCACCAGGCCCGAAGCCUGCCCAAACAGCCUCAAGAUCGCUCCACACAUGCUCGUCUCAGUCUCAUUUGUUUUGAAGAACACCACUACAUCAUCCGCAAACACGGACAGCCUUUGUUUCAAGCCAGACCUCGCCAAAGGUGCCAACAGCCCUCUUUUCAUAGCAUAUUCGAGAAGUGCCUGAAGGGGUUCUAUACAUAGGAUGAAGAUCAUGAGUGAGAAGGGGGCUCCUUGCCUUAGACCUUGACAUGCUAGGUUUGGUUUUCUGGGAGCACCAUUGACCAUGACUCUCGUGGAUGAGGUAGGCAGCAGCCCAGAAAUCCAAGAGAUCCAUCUUUCGCAAAAACCAAGCCUCCUCAGAACCUCCAAGACAAAUGGCCAUUGUAGUGAAUCAAAAGCUUUGGUGAUGUCCAGCUUAAACAUGACUGUGGGUACUUUUAAGGCGUGCACCCGUCUCGCCGUACAUUGCACUAGCAUGAAGUUGUCGUGUAGUGAUCUACCUCUGACAAAUGCGCUCUGAUGAUGCCCCAUGAGUUUUGGUAAAUCAUCCGCAAGCCUCGACGCAGGGGUCUUGUUGAAAAUUUUGAUCGGUCCACUAACAAGACUAAUUGGCCGAUAGUCCUUAAUAUCCACAGCUCCGGAUUUCUUAGGCAGUAGCGAGACGAUCGCUUUAUUGAUUGUUGCCAUACCUUGGACAUCUCGUCGGCGAAAAUGCUCCAGUGCAUUCAUAAGGUCACCUUUGAUGAUAGGCCAACAAGUCACCUAGAAUAUGUCCGUGAAGCCGUCAGCCCCUGGCGCCUUAUCGAAGGGCAUAGCUUUGAUGGUCUUGAGCACCUCCUCUUCCAUGAACAAUUCUUCCAAAUGCGUGAGGUCAAGGGUGGUAGGUCAAGCACGUCCAGAUUAAUCGAAGCUUGCCGGGCGGGGGCUGACCCAAUUGAUCUACAUAGUAUCCGUCCACCACUUCGGAUAUGUUAUCCUGUCCCGUGUGUAUCCCACCAUUGUGAUGUAAAGUGAUAAUGUUUUUUCUUUGUCUAUGGCGUGCUUGCUUUUGGAAGUAUGCAGUGUUCGCAUCCCCUUCCUUCAGAUGAAACAAACGGGAUCACUGUCUCGCUAGCAUCCUCUCCAGCGAACAGAGGCCCAACAAUUUUUCUUGAGUAGCUUGCGUAGCCCAUGCUCUUGGUCUGAGAGAGUCCUACUCUCUGCCGCCACGUCCAGCCUACCAAUAACUUCCAUUGCGAUGGAGAGUUGAAGGCGAAUGUUGCCGAUCCAACGAUCACUCCAGCUUUGCAGGGCCUUGGCAGUGGCGUGUAACUUACUAUCCAGGACUAUAAAAGGGUUUCCUUGGGAAGAUACGGUGUGCCAUGCAUGCUGGACCGUGUCCAUGAACUCCUCAACCUGGGGCCAAAAGCUUUCAAACUUGAAACGCCAGCCCAUCUCUAGUUCUGCGUCAAGAUCCAUAAGAAGAGGACAAUGAUCCCAUACCGCCGAGCCCAGAACCGUCAAUAGGUUUUUGGGGGUGUAUAUCUUCCCAAGAGUUAGAAACAAAGAAAUGAUGGAUCUUCUCCAUUGUGGGAUUGCACCUUUCGUUACUCCACUUGUACCACCUCCCAUUUAUGUAUAGCUCCUUGAGCUCAAGCCUAUUGAGAAGGGCUCUGAAUCUGGCCAUCAUCGGCGUGUUGAGCGUGGCCUUGUUCUUAUCUUCCGAGUUGACAAGCAAGUUGUAGUCUCCCACCAAGGCCCACAACCCAACAUGCAAAUCUUGGACGUCACGAAUCUCUUGCAUGAAGUCAAUUUUCUCCGCAUCACCUUGUGGCCCAUAGACCCCUGUGAGCCACCACAAUGGAGCCCCUUCAUGCUUUGACUAGGGCAGUGAGCGUGUUCGCUGUACGGUGUAGGCUCGUGACAAACUACCAAGCUAUCCCAUGCCAAUAAGAUCCCGCCACGGGUACCCAUCGCCUGGACGUAGUAAAAAUUCUCAAAUUUAUUGCCGAGGCAUUGGCUUACAACAUCGCUCGAGAUCACUUCUAGUUUUGUCUCAUGAAGACACAUAAUGCUCACACUGGACGCCGCCACUACUUGAAAGGCGGUACUCCGACGUGCUGGUGAGUUCAAACAAGUGCCGCCAUGAGCUGCCCAAAUGUCCGGCCGUACACACUGACCUGUAGGUUGUCGAGUGCGUCGUGGAGAAGGUCGGCGGCACUGCCGUAAUGCCUAGGCAUUGGUCGAACCUCACGCUGCGCGACCAGUCGGUGUCGGCGGCGUCAUCAGUCUCGAGCUCCACCAGGCACCAUAUCGCCGAUCUUGGACUCCAUGCAGGCGGCAUGAUCUUUUUUUUUGGGUAAAAAAACAGAUCCUUGUGGCGAGCAACGCAUGCCUUGGAUCACCUGGCCGAGGCGACGGAGGCCUCAGCGUUGCGCUGAUCGACAUCGAGGGAGGGAGCGCACCCAGUGGUCGUCGGCUUUGCUACACACACGGCAGGGCUAGUACGGGAUCAACGGAGAGGCCUAGCAAAUAAAGUGGAGGGCCCCACCCCCGCCUGAAAAUUAGGGGGAGCAGUGAUUAGUUUUGAAGGAAACUCUGUGAAACCCCCGUAAAUGUCCGUCCGCAGAACAAGCUAGGCAACCAUGGGACCCACAUGCAGGUAGUUAAGUCACCCCAAUCCCAUCAUUUUCCAAGCCACAUAGGAAUCCCAUGUUUGGAUACGAUCUAAAGGUCAAAGGCAACCGGGAUGAAGAAAAGCUGCGCGCGUGUCAGGUCGUGGCGCUGCAGCUGCCCAUCUCAUCUGGUGCGCCAGCACAGGCUCCAGUUCGCCCUCUUGGACUGCGGCCCGGUCACGCCAUCCGUGGCGGGUUCCCUUGCACCUCAGCCUCUACCCGUCGCUCCGGCCGCGACUAGGAUGCGCCUCGCCGUACCCUGUCCACCGGGUCCAGGUGGCACGCGAUCCGCCGCUUGCCACUGACCAGGGAGAAGAUAUGCACCGUCCGGCCGUAGUUGUCCUUGAUGCCGCGCCCGGACACCCAGGGGAACUGCAAUGCGUCCCCGCGGCGGCCACGUCCAUCAGCGGCGUCUCCACCUUGUGCAGGGUUCUUGAGCACGCUGCUCUGCUGCGACGGUCACCGUGGCGCAAACCUCCAGCUUCCUCUUGCACCGGCCGCGGCGGUGUACUCUGACUUGUCCAACUGCGGCAGACCGUGCGUGGGCGUGGCCGCCCACUCAUUGCGCAUGUUGUGGGGUGUCUUGAUGCAAGCCGGCUAGGAGGAGCCCGCUGCCGCUGCCACUGAGCCUGAGCGUGAGCACAAACACGAAGCCGCCAUACUCGUAGAGCUGGUUCAUCGACGGGCCCUCCCGUCGCCGUCGAUAGACAUGUAGUCCCUGACCGUGAAGUAGUUCCCCUUCUGGACGACCACCACCGCGGCGGUCGGAGCCGACGAUGACGGCAUUGCACACGUUCCGCGCCAUGUCCUCGACCACCGCGAUAAAGGUCCUUCUCGGCGAGGCUAGUCGGGAGGGACGCGAGCGUCAGUGUGAUGGACUGGCCGCUUGGCGCUUGCCUGCUCUGCUUCUACUCAUCUACUCAAGUCUCAAGGACACACACCAUGGACGCAACCACCAAAGAAACCGGGAGGGCUCCAAUCGCGAGCCAACAGCUGGCGUGGUGGACCCCGCAACUAACUUUUAUUUCUAUAUAAUUUUAUUUAGGAAAACGAUCAAAAACAGUCGGAUGAUUUAAUCACAGCUUAAGCCGCCUCCAAUGCUUGACACGCGUCCCUGUGAGGGGACCACCACCGAGCGUUCCCUUCACUGGUCAUCUAUUCACGCGAGAGAAAGCUUGUCCAGUAGUUUUCUCUCUUCUUCCCCGAGCGUUCCUUUAUCCUUAUCUCCAACGAGAACUCCAGCGACCUUCUCUUCCUUCCUUUCGAUUCGCUUUUCUCCAGCAACCAGCCGCAAGGCCGCGAAGGACGGCGUCCUCUUCGACCACCGCGUGCAUCGGUGCGGCUGCUGCUGCAAGAUCCGCCGUCACCACCCGCCUGCUGCGUCGUAGCAUCUCCGUCGCCGCCGCGCUGCGUCGUAGCCUCCGCGGUCUCCGUCGUGCUUCAUCGCAGUACCUCGUCGCCGUCGCGUCGAGUCGGGUAGCCGCGCGCGUGUCAGGUCAUGGCGCUGCAGCUGCCCAUCUCAUCUGGUGCGCCGUGCAGCACAAGCUCCAAUUCGGCGCUCUUGGACUGCUGCCCGGUCACGCCGUCCGUGGUGAGCUCCCUUGCACCUGAGCCUCUGCCCGUCGCUCCGGCCGCGACCAGGAUGUGCCUCGCCGCACCCUAUCCACCGGGUCUAGGUGGCACACGAUCUGCUGCUCGCCGCUGACCAGGGAGAAGAUAUGCACCGUCCGGCCGUAGUUGUCCUUGAUGCCGCGCCCGGACACCCAGGGGAACUGCAAUGCGUCCCCGCGGCGGCCACGUCCAUCAGCGGCGUCUCCACCUUGUGCAGGGUUCUUGAGCACGCUGCUCUGCUGCGACGGUCACCAUGGCGCAAACCUCCAGCUUCCUCUUGCACCGGCCGCGGCGCUGUACUCUGACUUGUCCAACUGCGGCUGGCCGUGCGUGGGCGUGGCCGCCCACUCAUUGCGCACGCUGUGGGGUGUCUUGUUGAAAGCCGGCCAGGAGAGCCCGCUGCCGCUGCCACUGAGCCUGAGCGUGAGCACGAACACGAAGCCGCCAUACUUGUAGAGCUGGUUCAUCGACGGGCCCUCCCGUCGCCCGUCGAUGGACAUGUAGUCCCUGACCGUGAAGUAGUUCCUCUUCUAGACGACCACCACCGCGGCGGCCGGAGCCGACGAUGGCGGUAUUGCACACAUUUCGCGCCGUGUCCUCGAUCACCGCGAUAAAGGUCCUUCUCGGCGAGGCUAGUCGGGAGGGACACACGUGUCGGUGUGAUGGACUGGUCGCUUGGCGCUUGCCUGCUCUGCUUCUACUCAUCUACUCAAGUCUCAAGGACACACACCAUGGACGCAACCACCGAAGAAACCGGACGGGCUCCAAUCACGAGCCAACAGCUGUCCUGGUGGACCCCGCAACUAACAUUUCUUUCUAUAUAAUUUUAUUUAGGAAAACGAUCAAAAACAGUUGGAUGAUUUAAUGGCAGCUUAAGCCCCCUCCAAUGCUUGACACGCGUUCCUGUGAGGUGACUACCACCGAGCGUUCCCUUAACUGGUCAUCUAUUCACGCGAGAGAAAGCUCGUCCAGUAGUUUUCUCUCUUCUUCCCCGAGGGUUCCCUUAUCCUUAUCUCCAACGAGAACUCCAGCGACCUUCUCUUCCCCUUACUUUCGAUUCACUUUUCUCCAGCAACCAGCCGCGAAGGACGGCGUCCCCUCCGACCACCGCGUGCAUCGGUGCGGCUGCUGCUGCAAGAUCCGCCGUCACCACCCGCCUGCUGCGUCGCAGCAUCUCCGUCGCCGCCGCGCUGCGUCGUAGCCUCUAUGGUCGCCGUCGUGCUUCAUCGCAGUACCUCAUCACCGUCGCGUCGAGUCGGGUAGCCGCGCGCGUGUCAGGUCGUGGCGCUGCAGCUGCCCAUCUCAUCUGGUGCGCCGUGCAGCACAAGCUCCAGUUCGCGCUCUUGGACUGCGGCCCGGUCACGCUGUCCGUGGCGAGCUCCCUUGCACCUCAGCCUCUGCCCGUUGCUCCGGCCGCGACCAGGAUGCGCCUCGCCGCACCCUGUCCAGGUGGCACGCGAUCCGCCGCUCGCAGCUGACCAGGGAGAAGAUAUGCACCGUCCGGCCGUAGUUGUCCUUGAUGUCGCGCCCGGACACCCAGGGGAACUGCAAUGCAUCCCUGCGGCGGCCGUGUCCUCGGUCCUUGUCGGCGAGGCUAGUGGGAGGGACGCGCGCGUCGGUGUGUAUAUCUUCCCAAGAGUUGGAAACAAAGAUAUGAUGGAUCUUCUCCAUUGAGCUCAAGCCUAUCGAGAAGGGCUCUGAAUCUGGCCAUCAUCCGCCUAUUGAACGUGCCCUUGUUCUUAUCUUCCGGGUUGACAAGCAAGUUGUAGUCUCCCACCAAGGCCCACGACCCAACAUGCAAAUCCUGGGCGUCACGAAUCUCUUGCAUGAAGUCAACUUUCUCCACAUCACCUUGUGGCUCAUAGACCCCUGUGAGCCACCACAAUGGAGCCCCUUCAUGCUUUGACUAGGGCAGUGGGCAUCCUCCUUCAGCAGAUGGGAUCGGAGCAGUCCAUGCCUUUUUCAACAAGUGAACAAUAUAAGAAGCGUUCAUGCUGAGUGUCUAUCAAGUCAAUAUCAGAAGUCUAAGCCGAACAAAACGAUACAUGGAAGCUGACUCCACCAUGAUCUCAACCACAAUGGUGACUGGUCACUUGUACACACAAAAUAUGCAUGAAACCUUAGCCCAAAAAAUCAACUUCUACGGCCAUCGCAUCCAAGUGUCUAACAAAGGUAGUAGUGCAUAGUAUACAACUAUUCAAUGGCGAGAUGUAAGGAACACAUGAAAACACAUCCCAUGAAUCAUCGCGAUAAAGGUCCUUGUCGGCGAGGCUAGUCGGGAGGGACGCGCGCGUACGUCGGUGUGAUGGAUGGUUGGUCUGGACCACACGCCGUCGUCGACUGGCCGCUUGGCACUUGCCUGCUCUUCUUCUACUCAUCUACUCAAGUCUCAAGGACACACACCAUGGACGCACGCAACCACCCAAGAAACCGGCCGGUCGGGCUCUCCUGCUGCUGAGCCAAUCACGAGCGAACAGCUGUCCUGGUGGACCCUGCAACUAACUUUUCUUUCUAUAUCAUUUUAUUAUUUACUCCUGAAUACUACAAACUAGUAGUACAUUUUGCCUUGCCUUAUCCCCAUGCCUACGUGCGACGCCGGCAGCGAUAGGAUUCCUUCCGACGCGGUGAGGUUCGGGACCGUGGCCAGCGGCAAGAUGGAAGCAGUCGUUGAUAAGAUGGAAGCAGUCGUUUUGAUUAAAAAACUUCAAACUUCAC